AAGAAAUUGAGUCCAGUUUAAUCGGAGCUCAAUUCAUAAUAAAAACUAAGCUUAAUUUAGUUUAAAAAAUAGUUUAUUAAUAAUCACGAUUGAGUCCUUCUUUGAAAAAGAAAAAAGAAAAAGAAAGGCAGCCCUUUUAGGCCCAAACAAAAUGAGCCGUAAAAUAACAGAAUUCUAUGCAAAAGCUUGAGAAGGGGAAAUGGCGACGGACAUUAUUAUCCAGACGGCAAUUUUGUUAUUAACACUCGCUAUUGUCUUUGCAAUUCAAUACGUUCCCAAACAAACCUUAACCAAGCACCGAACCGACCAUCGAGCCACGACCCAAACCCAACGCCAUUUCAGCCGAGCCACCCAAUUGCUUUGUCGAGCCAAAUCCAACCCUCAGAAAGACCAAUCUCAAACCCUAGCGAAAACCGCCAUAACCGAAAUCGAAAAAGCCCUUUCUCUUUUCCCAAAAGACCCAACUCCUCACAUUCUCAAAUCCCUAGCUCUCGACUUAUUGGGCCACAGGGGAUCCGCUCUCAGAUCGCUCGAUUUGGCGUUGGCUUUCCCCCGCGUGAAGUCGCUCUCGGAGAAGGAACGCGUGGAGGCGCUGGUGAGGAGGGCAGAGUUGAAGUUGGCGGUUAAUAAGAGAAGGCGAGUUGACUCGGCCGUUUCGGAUUUGGAGGAGGCAGUUAAGGUGAGUGAUAAAGAGGGUGAGACUAAAACGAAGGCGUUUUGUUUAUUGGGGGUUUGUUAUGAGUUAAAAGGGAUGAGGGAAGAAUCUAGGAAGGCUUUCGUAGAGGCGCUUAAGCUGGAGCCUGCCUCUACCCUCGCUCGUCAGGGUUUGGAACGGGUGAGUUUGUCAUGAGUCAUUGAUUCCACGACUCGUCAUUCUUUCCGUUCUUCUCUGUUUCUUUUAAUUAUUUUCCCCUAAAAUAUUGUAGAAGUAUUUUGUAUUGUAUAUUUAACUUCGGCAUAAUGCUUUCAUAAUAGUUUGUUUAACUUUGCCGCUUCAUCCAGGAUUUCAGUAUUUAAUUAAUUUUUAAAAUUUAAAAAUAUUAAAAAUAUAUUCUUUUUAUAUUUUAUAUUAAUUUUAAAAAUAUUUUUAUAUUAAUUAAAGAUGAUUUGACAAAAAAAAAACCUUAAAUUUAAAAUUUUAAAAAAAAUUGGAGAGCCUUCAAUUCUUUUUCAACUAGUUUUGUCUUUUUAUAUAUUUUGAACUCUCAACUAUAGUUGUAUCAAUAUUGUUUGUUUUUUUAUCAUCACAACAUUUGCUUAUAAAGCAAAGUGCCACACCAACAGAUGACAUUCAGCUACGGCAUAGUACUAAUUGUAUAAAAUGCUUAUGUUAAUCGAUAUGGCUCAUUUAAAUAACAUAAAAUAAGUCUUUAAUCAACAACUAGUGGGGUAGAUACUGAUGUUGGGUUACAAGAUCCAACAUGUUUUUCAAUACAUAUAUAAAAGCCUGCGUAUUGCUGUGCUUUUCAUAAUCAUGGUUGCACUUGAAACCAAAUUUGGCUAAGGCGCUGAGAGUCGUAGUCAUUGACCGUAAUCUCAGGAAGAGAGGCGCUAGUAUCUUUCACAUCCAUCACCUGCUCAUUCACCACAUGCAGAACCGUGCCAUCGCUUUGAAAUUGCCAUCGUUCCUCUACCCAUCCUUCGCAAGUUCCUACGAUGACUGAGUACCCUCCUGGAUAUGCACACUUGAGACACCCGUUUCGGUUCUUUUUAGGCCUGAUGGUCCCAUCUGGAUAUAUAGCCCAAAGUUGUUCAUCGUCGUUUUUCACGCACUUCUCUAACCACACUCGACUUCUACUUGCCAGCAAGCACAAACCAUUGUAACCAACAAUGGUGGUCACUGUUGGUUUCGUGUUAUUGCUGACAAACCAAGCUUGUGUAGAACUAUAAAUAUUGCGAUCUACAACCAGAUUAAUCAUGGUUGAGCUAUAUCUACUUGCCGUUAAAACUAGCCCCGAUUUGGGAUUUCUUAUGUUUCCAUCUCUCCGGAUUUCCCAUUUGGUUGCAUCAGGGACAGCUGAGUCACAAUCAUAGAUCAUCACAUAGUCCUUUAGGCUGUAUCCGUAAGUGGUUAGGCAUUUUCCACCGGAUCGAAUUGUGUUAUCAUCUGUUUUCAGCGUCCACAAUUGACCGGCCUGAUUCUCCAAACAUUCUGAUAAAACUAUUUUGUUUCCAUUGUGGUAGCUUCCUUGGUAUACAUCAACACAAAAACCGUCUAGACCAAUAAUAUGCGAGGUUGGUGCUAAAUCUUUUUCACAGGUGCGGUCAUUGUCUUCCAGGCCAGUGGACCUCGUAGCCACAGGCAACAAAGGGGAAAACCCAGACGACGGCGUUGAUGUUGGCAUGCGCAAAAUCUGCAGAUGAGCCCCUGUGUUUCUUCUGCAUCGUGACGGCAUUAUUGCAAUGGUGAAAAUCACUUGCCUCACAGUGCUCAAAACUAAUUCUUGACCAUCAUAUACCAAACGGACUGCUGUUCUGAAGAUUCCAUCUGUUGCAGAUUGGAUGGCGGUGGAUAUGUCUUCCCAGCUAGUUUCAUACUCCAUCACUAAACAACACACUGUAAGUUCCAUCAUGACGAGGCUCUGCAAUUGUAAGCAGUUCCUGUUGGAUGUCUCCACUUCGAUCUGCACGGACUGUCAAUGCAUUUUGCAGAUCUUUCAUAAACAUCUGAUACGACUUCCUGUCGGCACCCUUAGUGGUGAAUUUCACCGUGUAAAUUUUGAGCUUCUGUUCAUUUUCUUUGGCAGCGAUGCAGCAUCGUGGUUCCACCAUGAAUGCCAAUACCGCCAACAGUAAGAGAAUCCACGCCUUCAUUUUUCCUUGAAGAAAACUUUCUAUAGGAAGUAUAUUGGGUGAUAGAUUUUUGAACGUAGAGGGUUUUGCAAUGCUUCUAACGGGAAGAGGAGAGCACCUUUUAUAACAAUUUUGGUCGCCAACAUAUCAAACUCCUCCACCACACACAUCAAGACUCGUGUCUAACGGUGAAUGGAUUGGUGGGGCCCCAAAUCUAGUACUUUCAUCCACUAGCAUGCACAAUAUUAAUGUGUUUGUUGAGUAUAUUAUAUUGAUAACCCAUCGUUUAUGUUAGUUCUAAGUAACUCAUAUUCUAUAGAUUGGGUCGCUUAAUCCGAUUGUACCUUCUCUAUAGUGUACAUAAUUAGCAUUUUGAAAUCUCUAACCUUUUAUCACGUAGAUGGUUGUUUAGUACAUAGAGGAAAUAUUGCAAACAAAUGAGUGGGAUGUAAUAAAAAAUAAUAGAGAGUAAGAUUAGAGUAAAUCCACUAACAAUGAGCGUAACAACAGGUGGUAGUUGUCAAUCAAACUUAACAAAGAAGCAAGUUGGGAGAAUUUCAGAGAAAAUCUUUUGAGAGGUUAAAAUGUGGAAAAUGUCAAAAGUGUCAUGAGUUCUUUCAUCAAUUGUGAAAGACUCGUAUUUAUUGUGUUUCAAGAAUAGGAUUUACAAAUAUAAUAAUUAAUAUGAAUAAUGUAAUUAAUUUCCAGUUAUAAUUGCAUUAAAAAUUUAAAAAAAGGUAGUGAAAAGUUUUGUGAGUAAUGGUGAAUAGUGAAGAAAAAUUCCGAGGAUAAUUCUUAACUACUUCGAUGUCUGAUCUACCAAACUAAGCUCUCCGGAACAUCCCAAAAGUAAAGGUAACCUAAAAAUCCUGUCAUAUUUUGAGGUUACUUUCACUUCUUCUAUUUUGGCAAAAUAGUAAGAUAUGAAAUAUCUUUAGCGAAACAUUUCUUAAAAAGCAAGAUGUGGCUGUUCUUAGAUGAGAGUCGUUCCUAAAUAAUGAUUUAUUUUGAUUUAUUCCAAAAUGUGAGCUGCUUUUACAUAGUUAUUCUCAGUGUAGAGGUUGCUUCGAAUAAGAGGAGUUAUGUGGUGAUACUUUUUUGGGUAAAACUUAUUCUAAAUAAUGGCUUUUUCAAAAGAAGAAAAAAAACACAUUUGUUUUAAAUACAAAUUGUUACAAACAAUGAUUGUUCCAAAUAUAACUAUUUUUGAAACACUAUUAUUUUAAACAAGAGUUGUUCUGAACUUUAGCUGUUCUUAAUAAGAGUUCCCAAAUAACAAUUGUACUGGAUGAUAGCUAUUUUAACUAAAGUCAUAUUCUGAAUAUAAUUAUUCUCGAACAACCAUUUCAAACAAGAAUUGUUGCUUCGAAAGAGAUAUACAUAAUUUCUUGAAAUAUAAUAGUUUUUAUCUUUAAAAAAAAUAAAAAUGUUAAUAGCCAAAAAUGAAUAUCUACGUGUGAAUUAUGUUAAUUAAUGUUUAAAACUAUUAUAUGAAGAUAACAUUUAUAAAACAAUACACGUAAUUAAUUUUAUUUUAAGAAAGUCAAGGGUAUUUUCAUCCUAUCUUGUUUGUUAGUGUAUGAGUUUAUAUAUUGAUAGUAAAUAAAAUAUAAAUUUAUAUACUAAUACGAAUAUAGUUCAUGAGUUAAACAAAUAAGAAAAAAAAAGUGAAAGUAAAAAGUAAAAGUAAAAGUAAAAGAAGAAAAAACAAAAGUAAAAAAAAAAAAUUGAUGCAAAAAGUAAACGAAAUUUUAAUUCAAAUGGUAAGUUUAAUAUUUAAAUAUAAAGAUAUAUUAUGUUGAAGUUUCAUUCAAUAUACGUGUUUUUUUUUUUAAAUUUAUUUUGGGUUUUAAAUUAUUUUUUAUAGAUUUUAUAUAAAAACGUAAAAGAAAAAGACAAAUUUAAUAUCAAAGUAUUUCAAUACAGUAUCAAUGAGAAAUGAUUUUUGUUAUAAUAUUGAUAUCAAUGAGAUAUGAUACAGAACCUUGUGCUAACGUGUAUCAACUAUAAAAACUUAUUUUGAAAGUGAAACUAAGAAUGACGAUAAAGAGGUGAAGAUUAAAGAUGUUUUAUGUAUCGUGUUGCUAUUAGCUUCUUCUUCUUUUUUAAUAAUUUCUUACGUACACGUGAUUUCGAAUGUUGUCUAGUUAACUUUGUUACUCAUUUUACUAUUUAAUAAUAAAAUUUAUUAAUCAAUAACUCAAGACUAUGUUAUCCAAAUAAAGAAACAUCAUGUUGCAUGAAUGUAAAAUGAUUCAAUAACAAUUAAGGGUUAAUAUUUGAUGUACUAGUGAAUCAAAUAAUGACACAUAAUCCGAUUAAAUCCAUUUAAGAUAAUGUGUCAUCAUCUGAUUUUGAAAGUUGAAAAUUUUGAAGGUAGCUUGUGCGGAACUAAAGUGUAGAAAAUGACCGUGAUAAAAAUAAAACAAAGAAUAAAAUAAAGAAAAAAAAAAGAAAAUGAUAUGAGGGAAAAACAUCAGAGAAACGAAGCUAGACUUGAAUAAGUCUCUAAUUAAAUACCUUCCUAAAAUUUAAAAUUUAGUCCAUAUAUUUUAAUUUUGAGAUAUUGAGUUUUCUUAUAUAUUUUAAAAAAAAACAUUUUUUUUCAACUUAAUUAUUACUCCAUAAAAAAAAGUUAAAAAUUUUAACAUUUUAAAUAAAUAUUCCUAAUAAAAUUAUAAUAUUUGUUGUACUCAUAUUACGCUAGUUAAGAUAUUGUAUGGGCAAAAUAACCAAGAGAAUUUCUUAACCGUAGAUAACCCUCCUCCAACCUUAACAUUGUUAGACCACGCCCAUAAACUUAAUAAUAAAAGGGCCCAAAUAGGCAACAACUGUUAGGGCUAUAAUGAUAAUAGACAAGGUAGAAGGAAGGAGUCAAUCCGAAGGUGCCUUGGACUCCAAGACUAAGAAAUUUAUCAUGUGUAAGAUACGCCUCAAAAGAAUUAUGGAAAAUAUCUUGCCAUUUUCAUGUUUACAUUCCAUCAUCUCCCUUCUUAACCUUUUUUCUUUCUAAAAUUCAUUUGGCCUAAAAGUUUACUUAAGUAUAGGAAAGUAAUUGAAGUUCAAACUUUGAUAUUUUUUUACUCACCCUUCUAACACGAAUUUUAAAGUAAUUGAAGUCCAUCAUCUCUCCCGGCCACUUUCAUUUAAAAUCUUUAAAAUUUUUAAAAUUUUAAAUUAGUAAAUGUAAAAUUAUACUUUAACCCCCUCAUAGAAAUAUAAAAAUUUAAUUUAAUCUUUUACAAAUUAUAAAAACAUAAACUAUUAAAAUGAUGAAAUUACAUUUUUAUUAUCGUAAAAAUUACAAUUUAAUUUCGACCCUCCUUAAAAAAAAAUUUAAUUUUACCCCUACCUUCUAAUUUUGUAAAUCAAACCAAAUCCACAAUACUAUUGGAAAUAAACUAAGCUACUUGUAUGAAAUCACUCAUAUCUCAUAAUCCAACCAAAUAGAAUACUAUCACCUUCGCCUUCUGGUUCAAAGAAAAAAAAAAGCCUUUAUAAGACAUCCAACUCCUUCAUGCAAACCCCUACAAAGUUUAACCAAUGUAUUAUCCCGACAAAUACAUCAGAACAUUUUGUGACAUAAAAAUCCCUCGAAUUUCCACAAUAGUGGCUACACCAACAUCCACUUUGGAGCAUUCAGGUUAGCACUAAGCUACCAUGGCAAUAGCCAUGUUAGACUCAAGAUAUCUCAAGUAUCAACAUGCAUAUGCUUGCUUAAGUAGUGCAAAAAUCUCACUUAACUCAACAACAAUCUACCUUACUUUCUUUCCCAACUGCAACAUGACACUCAAAUACCCAAAAAAACAUUUUUUUUACAAUUUUUUAAAACAAAUUCAAAUGGAAUUAAAUCAUUGGAAAAAUUAAUUUUCAAUUAAAGUAUGAAAAUAUGUUAUCCCAUAAGCGAGGAAACAAAAAAGCCUAACAACACUAGCUUUAUGAAAUUAGAUAAGAUGAUUUUUAACGUAUUCAUCAUAUAAAUGGUAAACCUUAAAAUACACUAAGAAGCAUAUAUAAAUGGUAAGUUUAUAACAGCGAAAGCUGCUUUGGAGGUGCGGGGAAUCGAACCCCGUGCCUCUCGCAUGCAAAGCGAGCGCUCUACCAUAUGAGCUACACCCCCAGAUGAUAUUCUAUCUCAAUAUUAAGUUAUUGAUAUAUAAAACCAAAAAAUUUGGACAAACUUCAAUCCCGAUUCCAAUUAGCUCAUGGUCAACUCACCGUGUUCAACAACUUUAGUCUUGUAAGGGAUUUAGUGGCACCAUGAUCACUAUGAUCUGAGAUUGUAUUUUGGGGUUUUAUGGAUCAGGGCUGAUAUAAUCACAACCAAAAUGGUAACCCAUGUUCAGGUUUUUGGAUGAGAAAGCCAUUCCGGUUUGGCAGGGUGAUCCACAAAAUUCCUGUCUGUUAACCAUGAGUUCAACAAACACUGAUGGAAGGGGCCAACUACUGCAACCCUUGUUUUUUAACCCAAAGUCCAGCUUUUCCUACUACCAAGUAAGAGCUGUUUUAUAUGUUUCUUUCAUUGCAGAGCUCUUUGGAACAUGCAUUCAAGAAUCUCAGGUUUAAACCAUUUUUGGUUCCAUUUCAUUUCCUUGCUGUAAAUGAAAAGAGAAACAGGAAAAGAUGCUACCUUUCAAACUUGGAAAAUGGAUACAGGAAAACAUUUCAUUAAAAGAAUAUUACCUUCUUUUCAAGUAGAAACAAUCAGUUACAAAGAUGCCAUUACUAAUUCUAUUGUUGCAAAAGAAUUAUCAUGUACUUGUAUCUCUCUCACUUAGCCAAACCAUCUUCGAGCUUGGUUAUGCGUACUAUUGAGGAAGUGCCCUUCCGUAACAAAACUUACCUUUUCGGAAAGAAACUUCAAGUUGAAGAACAAGCUACCUUCUGCUGAGGAUUAUGCCCGCAAACAGCUAGAACGACAACAAAGUGAGGAAAAUUUUCCUGGCAGAGAGUAAUCCAAUUGCAAGGAUGGAUCAGUUGCGACAUCUUCAGCACAUGACCAAAUGUACACCCCUCGUUCGUCCCGGCUGCCUGGAACUGUGUUGUCGAGUACAAAUGCUACCAAGAGUGUAACCACCAUGCUCAUAGACAAGAGUGCAUUUAUAGAAAAAUCAAGCUGACAUGUUCAUAAAACAAACUUGUUAAAACUUUUUUUUUCAUACAAUUAAGGAAAUCAAGAAAGACAUCAUAAAUCAUAAAAUCAAAGAAACCUGGGAUAAGUGUCUGCAUAUCUAUGUAUCAUCAGCUUAGCAACUAGAAUGGCGGCAAUCUAUAUCAAGAUUCAAAAAUAUGCACAACUUCAACUUACUUGUUCAUUAAUGGUGUGGACUGGUCCAUCUGAUGCAGCUGCAUACGGAACAAAAUAACUUGGCAGCAUCAAAAUUGACUCGGGUUGGUACUGUUGGAAAUAAGUAGGAAUGGAUAAACCAAGAAACAAGGACACCCCAACUAUGGUUAUGUUCCUAAAACUUGCUGUUUGCGUGUAUUGCAAGGUUGAGAGGCCUACAGCCACAACAAGGGCCCACAUGAAGCACAAAAUUGCAGCAGCCAAGGACAGUGGUAUUGAAGCAAGAAUUGCACCCACUUUUCCUGUCACGCACAAGUCAAUAAAUCAACAUAUAUUGAUUUCAUACAUGUAAGAUAAACAAGAUAAAUUAUUGAGCAAGGCAUAUUGAAUACAUAUGCAACCCAAUGGGUACUGUUCCAAAACUUCAUAGAGGUAUCAACCAGUAAGAUCAGAUUGAACCCCAAAUCAUUUAAAUCCAUUGAAGUUGAAGAACAUUCUAUCAUCUAUCCGCAAUGCACAUCCAAGCUUGAAUUUUGACUUUACCGACAACUGAGAAGAGGAUCAAGAAAAGUGCCCCAAAUACCAAAGCUCUUCGGCUUGCCAUCUUUGUUAUGUUUAUCGUAUGUGUAUUCUCUGUCAAAGUUGUUGAGCCAGUACCCGAACCCCAAAUUCCAGCAAGCAGGCUACAGAAACCUUCCAAAGCAAUGCCUCUGCUAACUACUCCAGGAGUUGGAGGCUUCGAACUGACUAGCAAAGAGGCAGAGUGAUAUGUUCCGACCUGCUUAGUAAUUGUAUCACAAGCAUCAAUGUAAGGGCCAUUAUCCUUAUUUCUUGUUCAGUGUCUUAAAUUUACAGAUAUUAAAUGUUAAAUAAAGUAUUUCCAUCACACAGUCCAUUUGAUACGAUAUUUUGGCACACAAUAAAUACUAACCGAAUCUACCGAUGCAACAAGUGACACAAUGAUCAUAAUCAAAGACGUCCGGAAAUGGAAGAUAGGGACACCCCACUGUAAAGGGUACGGAAUUCUGACCCAUGCAGCAGUUCUCCAUGCGUUUGAAGCAUCAGCUCUGCAAUGCUUCAUGGUAUAUGCAUGUUUUCUACACUCGUCAACUAAAAUGUUUGAACUGGGAAUGUCGGGACUGCAUCCUUUAUAAUCAUAAGCUCCUCCGGCUGUCAGAAAGAAUGCAUAUAUCCAAGUGAUUGUAACACUAAGAGGAACCUGCAGUGAUCGAACAAUGACAUGACGUCCAACAAAGAAUAUCCCUACCAAAAACAAAGAAUCUACCAUUUUCCUGGACAAACCAAAGUUGUUCAACAAAAUGAACUGCGGUAACUUUUUAAACACUUAAUAUUGUGAUUCUACUUCAACUAUGGUAGGGUAAGAAAGACCUUUCCUUGGGAAGCACUGCUAAACAGCUUUUCAUGGGUAAAAAAAUUCAGCUUCCGUAAUGGCUGAUGGAACAGACACAAAUUAAUCCUUGAAUAGGAGUAGUGAAAGAAAGAAGAAAGAUCAUUCACAUGGUAGUUUUCAUCUUCUUUUUUUAAACUUUUGAGAGCAAUGUGACCUUAAUCAUUCUUAUGAAGGACAUUCCCACUCAGUUAGAUCUAUAUGACAAAUCCAUAUUACAUCCCAUUUCCGACUCAAUUAGACGAUGCAAUGGUACAAAGAAUGUAUUGCUUGACAGUAAAAUAAGUUCAAUUUUUAAGGAAACUGAAUUAAAUAGAGCUUGGGGCAUUUUCAGGACAGAGGGGUCCUUUAACCACACCACAAAAAAACUAGAUAAAAACACCUUCACUGAUAACAUGGGGUGAUAAACAAUUGGUAAACAAUGGUAACAAAACAAACAUGACAAGAAGCAACAAAUUAUCUUGUCAUCCACCACUAUUAGGCUUUCAUCAUAAUGAAGUGAGAAACUUUUACGGCAGAUAGCCGGUUAGCUUUUAGCUGGUAGCUCAUUACCCCAAAGAAGGAACUCAAGAAAGGGUAGCUCGUGAGUAACACUAGAUAUUAAAAACAAAAUUGAGGUCAAGGUUUAGAAAGUAUAAACAAGAUGAAGGGUGAGAGUACGUACUGCAUAUAUUCGAAACAAUCGGUGCCCAAAAAUGGAUAUUCCUCGAAGAUACUAGAAAAAAAAUGUAAAAUUGAGUAACUAUUUGGAAGACGUCAUUAAAAGGAAUAAUCAAAAUUAAAGUAUCAAAUAUGUUCAUAUGCUCAGUAGCUACCCAUAUUCAAUUUGUUUUGCUCAGGAAAUCACUCACCAGGGUACAUAUAAGAACCAACAACAACAAGGGAACACUGACUUCUAUACAACUACCAGCUUGUGGAAAGCCAUAACUAAAGAAUGCUAAACCCACAGCGGCAACAGUUGGUGCAACCACAACUGGGUUAAUCAAUCUGCAAAGUGAGAUGAGAAUGGAACAGUUAACUCCAUAGGUGGUUUCAAAUUAUAUCAUUAACUAAAUGGUGUGCAGAUAGUUGACAUGGCAAUUUCUAAUGAUAUCCAUGAACAAGGAUUCUGAUAGAAUUACCUCAGUAAAAGAGACAUCAAUCCACUGAAUCCUAAGAUACUUUGGAAUAUUGAACCAACAAUAAUAGCUCCUUGCAGCUCUCUCAUUAUGUGCCUGAAUUUCUGCAUUAAAAGAAAAAAAAAUGUAUUAUUGGAACUAGAGUCUAGAAAAAGAUAGUAUUGCAAGAAACACUAGUUUAAGCUUGCAAGACAUGAACUAGAGAUGCGCUCAAUCUUCUUACAGAUAGAGGAAAUUUUUUAUGAAAAUAAAGAGAUCACGUUCAUUAAUUUGAUCAGAAUUUAGAGGAUCAAAGCCAUUUAUGGAGAAGUUAAAACUAUAUAAAAAAGAAAAGAUAUUGACAGCAGAAGGUAAAGCACUCAUUUUCCUCUGCUUACAUGUUCUGUGAGAUUUCUAUAAUCCCGAGCAUUGAUGAUAACUAGCGCUGGUGCUAGAUAGAUGAAUGAACUUCCUUGAACUAAUGGAAGCCGGGUGCCAAAGUAGGAGUGCAGAAUUGUACUAAUGCCAGAAACUAGCAGCAUUGUAGAAAUCACACUGGCAGUAUCUUUCUGCAAUGCAUAUCAGAAAUAUCACUGCAUUUCAUAUUCCAAUUCUGCUGCAAGUCAAGCAAUCAAUAAUUCCAUAGGAAAGGAAGCUUACAUCUGUUCCGCCCAUGGCUGGUACCAUAACUGAUGGAAUGAAUAUAAGCGAACCCGCCAAUGAUAAAAAGUGCUGCAGGCCAUAAUAUAUUAGUGCUCCUGUAGGUAAAGAUAACCGGAUGAGAACCGGUAGUGUGUACUGAUUUCUUCCUAGUUAUCCAGGACAUUUUAAGGAUUACGUGGCAACUACAAGAUUCAAGAACCCUGUAACUGCAGAAAGCAAUUCACGAUUUUGGUUUUUCAGUAGUUGGUAGCUACUGAAAGAUCAAUAAUAUUAUGUCCUUCCCUUUGGUUAAAGCCUCAAAUAUACCCAUGAUAUAAAUACGAACCAUGUUUGAAUUGGAUAUUUCAUAUAAAUGUUUGACAAUUUUCUAAGCUGACCAUGCAUUGAUGAGUCCUUUUAUACUUUCACAAAUCACAAGGGUAAAUGAAACAAAAAAACUAUAGUAGAACUAUCCAAGUUAGAACAUUAAGUCUAGAAAAAUCCAAACGCUCCAUCUGCGUGGAGAAGUUUGCUGAAAAAAGUAGAACUUUUUCAAUUUUCAUUUUUCUAUGAGCUUCUUCAAUUUUUCCUAGCUCUUACAGUAUCAUUUUCUAUGCUCUUUAAAAAUACACACCAAGCCAAGCCAUAGGAGACAUUAUCACCAUAUCAACUCCAGCUUCUAGCUUCAUUCAGUAAUACAAUAUCCACAUAGCUCGGAAAUCUAAAGUAAAUAACAGCCUACUUCAGCACUAGCUAACAUUAGUCGGUUCCAGCAUUAUGAAGAAAACAGUAAUCAAUUCAUCUUCAACAAUGAACAUAAACAAACAAAAAGAAAAGUUGGAAAAAAGGAAACUAACCCAAACCCGGAUUAUCUCUCAACCCAACCUUCAACCCGGGAUGAUGACCAUUCCCCCCUUCAUGACCCUGCUCUUCACCUUCUGGAUACAUCCCAAUUUCCACAUCCCUUCCACCCUUUCCUUCCUCAUCCUUCUCUUCAACAACUAGUGGUGUAACACUUGCAACUCCAUUUCCUUUCCCAUUCCCAUUCCCAUUUUCCACCCCAUUCCCGUUUAACCCAACUUUCCUUUCCUCAACUUUCUCUCCCAAACCAUUCCCAUCUGCAACUGUCUUCCUUCCUUGUCUGGAUCCGGACCCAGAACCUGAAUCCAUUUCAAUUUCAACACCCAUAUUGGGUCUAGUCCGGCCCAAAACCGGAUCAAUCUCUAUUUUCGGAGAUGACCCGCCUGCUCUUUGAUCACGGCCACUUUUUCCCACAUGAAACCCAGUGGAACUGUCGAAUCUUUCAGUAGAACUAGCAGUGCCGGUUUCUCCAGAUAAGUGAGAGACGAAACCGGUUCUUUUAGCCCAAGAUCUUAACUCUCUUGGGUUAUGGUUUUGAUCUUUUUUAGGCACAAAAGGUUCAAUCUUUGGUAACAUUGAACCAAGCUUGUUGCCUCUUCCAUUUGAAGUCUCUGCCUUGUCUAGUGAAUCUGAGUUCGACCCAGUUUCCAUUUCAGCUUCUUCUCAAAUGCGUACCAAUUCUUUCCCCACACACACACAAAAAAAACGAAUGACUAUUAAAAGGACCUCAGUGAACUACCAAGAAAAACCGAGAAAAAAAUAAAAGAGAGAAGGAAAUGUAGAAACUAAGUAAAGGCAGAUCGGUGCAGGGAAAGAGGAGAAAUUCAGAGGAAAAUAGUUUGGUAUGUUUUUGUUUGUAUUAUUAAGGAAAUUGGAAAGUAGGAACUGUGAGUGUGAAAAGUGAGGGAAUUUGUUUAUUUUAUCUUGUUCACUUUUUUUGGUUCUGCUUUCUUCUUCAUUGCCGCUGGCCAGUUGCUAUCAGUUGAAGUUUAUUAUUGCAAAUUACCCAGUUGCCACUGUAACGGCAAAAUUGAAUCCAGUCCUUCUCUUGUCCUUUUAUUUCUUUUUCAACAAAAAUCGGGCAUAAAUGGAUUUUUUUUCAUACCUCCAUCCACUUCCAAAUUCCAAUCCAAUGUAAAUAAAAUUUAUGUAAAUUUCUUAGUUUUUUAACUAUAAUUGUGAUCGAAAUUAAAAUAUGUGCUAAACUAAUAAAUGUAAAACGAGAUUAGAGAUUAAAUUAAUAUAAUAUAAUGUUUUUCUAAAAUAAGUUAUGAAUUGAUUUUAAUAUUGAAUUGGAUACCUAAAUCAAACAGCGUUAUGUAAUAUAAUAAAUACUUAAUUGGGUUACCAUUUAAUUUAAUUUUAAUAAAAGAAUAACUAAAUAAAUUGAUUUCAUGUAAGACUUACCAAAUAUUUUCACCGAGCAGUUUUGUGUAGACUAAAAUAAUAAUUCAUCAUAUAAACAAUAGAAUCAUUUGAAUCUAUUUGUAAAUGUAAGUUACCAUCAUCAGAAUCACAUUUUAUUUUCCUAUUUUUGUGAUAUUGACCUACUUUAUUUUCUUUUUCCUUUGAAAAAUACUUAUUAACAAAUUUUAAAGUGAUGAAAUGAAAUUUCUAUCAACUAAUUAUUGAAAUAUAAAAGGAAAAAUUAGGCACAUGCCAUUUUUAAAAUGAAUUUAAUAAAUUUCUUAAAUUUAGGAAAAUAAAUCGAUUUUGCAAGAGGUGAUUUCAGCUUCUCUCUCCUGUCACGUCAGCAUAAUUUAUUACUAAUUUUUGAAGGGAUAAAUAUCGAAAUUAUAAAUGAACUCUGAUUCAAUAUGUAAUACUAUACAUAAACUUUGAUUUUGUACAAUUAUGUAUAUGAAAUUUUGUUUUGAUUCAGUUUUUUAUUUUGUAAUUUUAUUAAAUUAGCAUUAUUUUAUAUAUUAAUACAAUAUGAAAAUAAAUAAAUAUAUUUAUUAAUUUAUUCAGAUGUGUACAAUCGAAUCAAAAUCAAAGUUUUAUAUAUACAAAUAAACCCUAAUUCAAGUUUACUAGGUAUAAUUGUACAUUAAUAUGAAGUUCAUGCAUAAAUUUAAUAUUUAUUCCAUUUUUAAACAAAUCAUUUGAAUAGCUCGGAUUCAAGGUUGAUAUAAUUUUUAUUUAGAAAAAUUUAACUGCAAUCUAAUUAGGUUUAUGAAUACUUCUGGUAUAAAAAAUUACUAAAGUUAUUAGGAUUUGAAUUUUAAAGUAGAUGUUAUUUUUUAAUUAUUAACUUUUAUUGUAUAAGAGAUAUUUAAAAAAAAUUGAACAAAUUUAAACUGAUUUCGAAAAUGUACAAUUAAGCUUAUAAAAUUUAAUUCAAAUUAAUUUAAUUAUCUACAAGAUUCAAUUCGAUUUAUAAAAAAAAAUUAGAGAUAUUUCAAAUUUUCAACCAACAAAAAUAAUUUUUAUUUCUUUAGAAAAUGUGUUUAAUUGAAAAUUUUAAAAAAAUAUUUUUGAAAAACAAUAAUAUAUAAAAUUUAGAAAAUACAAAAAAAAAAUAUUUCCAUUGUUUUGGCUAAAAAUACUUUACAAAGCUAAAAAUAAUGAAAAUAAAGGGUUAAACUAAAGUCAUAUAAAAAAAAAAAAAAACCAAAACGGAGAGAAGUUAAAAACGCUCCCAAUAAAAGACAAUCGAAAUAUUUGUCUAAACUUACUAAAUUCGUUUUAAAAAUAUAUACCUAAUUUUUUCCAAUAUAAAAUUAGGUUAUUAUUAUAAACGUGAAGAGGAAGAUUACUUAGAAUUCAGGAUUUGUAAAGGAUAGCUUUUUGAUUAGCAAAUAGAAUUGGACAAUUACAAAAAAGGAUUAUGGGUCCCAACUUCCAACUCUCUCUACUUUCUUUCUCCAUUCUCAAUUCUUAUUCGUCACUUCAUUUCUACAUUUUAGCUUAAUCUUUACUUUUUCUUUCCUUCCUUUUUCAAGUACACAAAAAGUCGCUGUUUAAAUAAUAAUAAAUAAAUAAAACCUUACAGUCGAUUUGGUUGACAUGGACGUGCAGUUUGCGGUUAUCCACUAGAUUCUUUAAUUAGAUUUUAAUUUUUAAAUAGUAUUUAUUUUUUUUUCAAUUUUAUCAUUUUAAUUAAAUUUAUAUAUUAAUUUAUUUUUAUAAAUUUAUUACAUAAAUAUUUUCAUGUGUAACAAAAUCUAACAUCGAGUUUAAAAUUUUGACAUAUGAGAAAAUAGCGGUUAAAAUUGAUUUAAUUAACAUAAUUAACGCAUUUGAUUUUUCCGAUUUCUAGUUGAAUAAAUUAAAAAUUCAGUUAAAUUAGUUAAAAUUAAUAUCCGAUGAAUAUUAUUAAAAAUAAAUGGAUUAAAUUAAUUAGGUAGGAAAAAUCAGACUCGAAAAAUCAGUUGCUUACACUUAAAUCAGAUUGUUUUGAGCAAUACUUAAUCCAUAUUUAUAACAUAUUGUAGCUUAAAUUUUUUUUAUAAAAUUGUACAAACCAACUCUAUCAAAAUUUUUUAUUCUUUUAUGUUCGUCCUUAUACAAUUUAUAUUGGCGUGAAAAAUUAUUAAAUGUUUUUAUUUGUUGCAUUUAUCAAAAGUUUGGACUUUAUUGUUGAAUAGCCAUUUCAUUUGAAUUAUUUGUUUGGAAGGCCAUUUGGCGGACGAAUAAUGAAUUUAUUAUCAAUCACUAUAGAAGAAGAGCAAUAUAUACCUCUUUGGGUUGAUAAUUACAACACCACUACUGCCUUGAAUCAGAAGCAUCAAUAAUAGAUGAUUAUGUAAUGUUUUAACUUUUUCACUUAAUACUGAAAUUAUUAUUAUCUUGACAAUUUAAACCAUUGAGAAGAAAAUCUAUUAUUUAGUUUAUACCAUUUCUAACUUGAUUUUACGCUUAAUAUAAGUGAAUUUCUUGCAUAUUCACAGUAAUACUAUUUUGUAGAAAGAAAUCUGAAAAGAAUUGUCCGCAAUAUCUUUGUUAUGCGGCAGAUCGGUUCAACUACAUGUAAAUCCAAGGCUUGAAUACUGAAACAGAGUGACAUCCUGGAAAUAUGCAUGUUCUUCCAUGUCAUCUCCAAUCAUAGGAUGUUAGCCCUGGAAAUAUGCAUGUUCUCUGAUUCUAAUAGAAAACUUGUUUGAUAAGGCGGAAAUAUUUACUAUCAGCUGACUUAUUGGAUUCCUUUCAAUAGUUCCUACGAGAAGAAAACCACUGAUGCAAAGAGUUGCUUCCUUCUGCGAAUUUAUACAAAUCGAAAAGAUGAAAACGAUAUGGCGAGAAAUAAUAGCCAAUGCAGCAUUUUCAGUCAAAACAACAUAUAUAAGCAUCUAAUUAAAGCUCGGAAACACCCGGUUCGCAAGUCAUGAGGAAGAACUGCACUAUGGAAUUCAAUGGAGCUAAGGAGAUGAAAUUAUAAGUCCAAAGCUUCAUCCCAUUCCAUAGAAAGCUAUUGGCAGAGACAUUUAACUGUGAGUUGUGAUUGACAAUGUUUGCAGUAUUGUCUGUAGGCAUACUACCAAGAAUGUCAAGAUAGAUUUUCAAAAGCAAAUAGAUGCAGAAUCAUAAAGUAGUAAAACUAUAGCAUUGACCGAAUUCGGGUUUCUUCUGAAUUAGAACUAAGGUCGAACAUGAAUUGUUACCAGAAACUACAAGGGACUGCUCCAAAUGAAACAAUAAGGUUGGAAGGAAGAAUGGUGCCAUAAUGGCAGCAAUAAUAGUCAUUUGGACAGUUUGCAUUAACGAUUGCUGAUCCAUUUUCUCAGAAUCAUAGAUACCUACCUCAUAAUAUCCUAACACUUCCCUCUAGCCGUUAAUGAACAAGUAUGCAUCAAUGGUUAACUACCAAGUACCUCAAAAUGGUAGAUAACCUCAUAGUAUCCUAAUACAUUAAUAUUGUUCAUUAAAAUGCAUGUUCCAUACAGGCUUUCUAUUCCAGUGAUGUAUGCUGCAAGGAUUAUGUGCAGUGACUAUGCAAGCACGCAAUAGGAUGUAGCACCAAUUUUAUGAUGUUGCAAUUGUAACAUGAGUUCUAUCGAACCCGGUUUCAAUAAAACAAAGCAGAAUUCUUGAUAAGUUAUACUUGUCUCGAUAGCUUCCAAGUACAGACAGUAAAAGCUUUAGCUUACAGUCAAGCACAAAAAAGGCAUGAAGAACAAUCCGAACUUAUUCACAAAAACUGAUUUAAACAUAUUCUAGCCUUUAUUUCGAAGAAUGGGGAGCAUUUAAAGACACCAUAAAUCCAAUCAACUAGCCUUAGAAAUGAUCCACCACCAAUAAAAAAAAAGGGAUUGAGCAGUUACCAUACAAAAACCCAUUUGGCGGGUUCUUUGAUUGCACUCGGCAGCUGGUUACUGGGGCCAUUUACAAGCUCCUUGUAACCACAUUUAUAACAAGGAACGAGAACAGCGUAUCCACCAUCAUCUUCAUCACCAUGAAAGCCAGGGCCGAGGGGUUCUUCCCACCCAAUGCACCAUCUGAUUCAUAUCCAGACAAAUGUAUACCAUCUGAUGGAACCACCACAACAUCAAAUUCUUUAUCAAUGACCCUCCUCUCCUCACUGCCUUGCCACUUUCCAUUUCCGGAUAUUUUUGUUUGGAAUUUAACAGUUUCAGCCCCCCAAUCAGAAGAAGAAUUCCCAGAAUUCAGAGAAGCCCCUUUUACAACAGGUUGUUUCUCUUUACUUGCACCACGGCUAAAUCGCCAUGGAAAACCAGGAAAAGAAACUGCCAUUUUUCUUAGUAAUCUUAAGUGUAAAGACCCAAUUUUACCCGGGCCUAGUGCCAAAAAUAUUAACCCGAGGCCCAAUUACAAAAAUAAAUACCCAAUAGCCCAAGGCCCAAAAUUCAAAACGGCCCAUUGGGGCCCAAAAAACUAAACAGCACAGGGAACCCUAGGGUUCCCUGCCCUUUCGCGCCGUAGCCCUACUGCCCAUGUGCGCUAUUCCCUCGGGCGUACCAUCCGCGCCUCGUCCCGAGGCUUACCUGACACCCUAGCCACCGCCUAGCACCAAAACGGCAAGCCACGCCUCUGCCUUCGUCAAGUACCUGCAAGCAACAUAAAAAAGGGGAAUAGAAGCAGCAAAAGGGGCAGAGAAUGGGUUGAUUUUCGGCUUUAUAAGCCUUGAAAAACAAUGUAAAAAGGGGGGCUUAACCACUGUAAAAAAAAGAGUCCUUUAUUUUCUCUUCACAAACAUUUGGGAAAUAAAGAGCAAAGAGAUUUCUUAAAGGUUUUUUAGAUUUGUUUUUAUUUUCUGAUCAUAUUUUUUUGUUUAUACUAAAUAGUAAGAAACACUAGAAAAAUCAAAAUAAAAAGAAACCUUACCUUUGUCUUGCCGGGAAGAGGAGGAGACGAAAGGUUUCUCCUUUUUGGGGGGUCUGGGUGCACCUUUUGCGGGAUUCGACGUUUGAUAUGUGCUCUAGAGGUGGUUGGCUUCGAAGGGGAUCGAAAGGGGCCCUUUUUGAGCCUCCGGCCGCCGCAUAUGGUGGCGCCGGCGCCGACGACUGGCGACCGGCGGUGGCCACUGGUCGUAGCUAUGGCCGGAUAUGGAGAUAGUUGAGAGAGUUUGGCAGAUUUUUUUUUUUUUAAAUGGGGCUGAAAUGGUUUUUGGGGUAAAAGAUUUGUAUUUAUAGCAUAGCCCAUACGGCGUCGUUUUGGACCUAAGCUUCAGGCGUCAAAACGGCGUCGUUUUUAUUUUGGCCUUUACCCGAAUUUCAACCCGACCCGCUCCAGGGAGAUCCGCGUGUUUUCGUUGAGUGGGUUAUUUGCAUCUAAGAUCCUUUCGCGUUUAUGAUUAUUUUAAUUUGGUCCUUUUUGUUCUUUUUAUUCUUUUUUAAAUUCGACCCGUGAAUUUAGCUUGUUUUUCAAUUUGGUCCUAAGACCAUGCCCCACUCUUGGUCGAAACGCAGCGUUUCAAUGCAAGUGAAUAUUUCCCAACAGAUCCCUUACAUGUUAAGCGCGUUUUAUUCCGGUCCCUUAUAAACUCAUUUUAUGUAUUUGUGAUUUAAACCCCGAAUCUUGUUCCAAUGUUUAAUUUAGUCCUUUUGCUAUUGUUUAUUUUUCUUUUUAUAAAAUGAUAUUAUUACUGUUAUUAUUAAGUUGUUCAUUUAUUUUAUUUUUUUGGAAUCUUUGUUAUAUAUAUACAUAUAUGCGUUUUCAUAUUAUAUAUACAUAUAAUAUCUAUACUUUUAUGAUCUAUCUAUAUAUAUACUUACCCUUUAUUUUUUUUUUCAUUUCGUAAUUUUAUACAUACCCAUAUACAUGUCUAUAUAUGUAUUUUAUUUUUAUAAUAAAUAUAUAUAUUCUUCAUACUUUUUAAAUAUGUAUUUUAUAUAUGUAUUUUAUAUGUAUAUGCUUUUCAUAUUUUAACUUACAUACGUAUAUAUGUAUAUACCUAUUUAUAUAUUUUAUAUAAUAAUUUCAAAAUAUGUACAUACUUAUAUUUUGAAUUUUUUUUUGUAAAAAAAAACCUAUUCACAUAUAUAUGUAAAUACUUAUAUUUUCAUAUUCUAUAAUUCGUAUAUAUCUUUUUCCUUCAUUAAUUUAUGUACAUGUCCGUUAUUAUUAUUUUUCUUGCUUUAGUUUUUAUCUAUUUAUUAUUUGUUAUUGUGCCCGCGUAAUUGUUUUAUAUAUUAGUCUUACUUAUGUAUAUUUUGUUUUGCGUGAUUAUUUUACUUACAUUAUCAUCAUCAUUCCAUUACGCUCAUUUUUAUUUAGAUUUCAAAAAAAGAAAUUUUAAAAACAUAAGUAAUAUUCGAUAUUUUAGAUUCUUGAGAGAAUCGAGCCCUAACGUAUUGGGUUUCGAUUUUAUUCGUUGAUCUUAAAUAAUCGAGAUUACUCUUUUAAAAUGAUAAAAAGCUCGUUAUCGAGAAUUCAAUAUGUUGUGUCCUAACGCAUUGGAUGUGACACGUUGUUUUUUUUGAGACGAUGAUUUUUUGAAAUAAAUGCAAUAUUCAAUGUUUAAUAUUUCGAGAAAUCGUGCUCUAACUUACUAAGCUUCGAUUUUUCUCGUUGAUUCUAAGUAAUCGAAUAUCCUUUUAAAAUUAAAUAAAUGAGGUUUAAAUAAAAAAAUGAAAGGCAAGCUUACUCUCAAAAAUACGAGGUGUCGUGUCCUAACUUACUGGAUGUAACAUCUUGUUACUUCGAGAUAAGAAGGCAUUUUUCCAUUUUGAUUUAUUCGAGUAAUUUUAAAAUAACACACAUAAAGAAGGAUUGUAUUUUUUAAAUUCUUUAAAGUUCUCAAUUUUUGACACUAAGACAUUAAGUAAUCAACUAGGUACCAAUUUUGGGCGUAUCGAGGGUGCUAAUCCUUCCUCGUGCGUAACCGACUCCCGAACUUGUUUUUUCUGAAUUUCGUAGACCAAAAUCGUUGUUUUAAUAAAAAUUAAAUCGUUUAUUAAAAACAACCACUUUUCGAGGUGACCUGAUCGCACUUCAUCAAAAAAAGAUUGGUAGCGACUCCCAUUUUCGUUUUAUUUUCAAAAUCUAAGUCGACCUCGUUUUCAACCAAAAAAUGGUGUCAACAUUAAAACUCCACGAACCUAUUCUUUCUUUAAGUCAAAAUUGCAGUUAACCACUAAAUUAGGAAAUAGUUCAUUGAGUGUGAUAACUUAAAAAACAACAAGACCAAAAUUUGAGAUGAUAUUAAUUGGAUCCAAAAGCUCGUAAAUUAAGCUCAAGCAGAACAGUCUGCUCUAUAGAUAUAUCUUCAGAAAAAAAUCAAACUUCAAACUUCAAACUUCAAACCCCAACAUCAACAUCAAACGUCCAAAUUCGCUUACGUGGCUAUCGUAAAAUCCAACGUGAAGCUACCAAUUGUAUUUGCCUGUAGUCUCUUAUCUUAUUUCCUGUUUGGUUGGAAGACAAUUCCUGCAUAUUUUCCACAUAAACAGCACCAUUUUUGCAUGGUACCUUUUGAGUUUCUACAACUGCUUCCAGUGUUCAAAUCAUGCAAAUUAAUUACCAUCAGUAUCUGCAACAAUUUAGUAACUUGAAUACCUUGAAAAGUUGUACUUCCAAACUGCUUCAUCUUCUCCAAAUAAAGAAAGCUUUUCAUUGAACAAAAUUACUUACAGAUUCACUUUCAAGAAUUGCACUCAUAUAUCUAUCACAUGUUCCAAAGAUCUGCCACGUCUAUGAAAAUGAGAUGCUUGACCAGCAACUGGCUUCGUCUUUCAAUGAUAGCAACAGAAUGUGGUUUAUACAAUGCCAGCGGAUCAACUAACUGUUUGAUUGCUUGUUUGGCUAAUUCUGUAUCCAAUCCCUAUAUUCUUCAAACCUUUCAAAUCUUGCUUCUUUGAUUUUUUAAUUAUAGAAAAUUAGUUUCUUUGUUUUUAACUCUUAUUUUCUAUGCCUAUGGCUGGGGGACCGUCGUGGAUCACUUGCGGUGCCCUUCGACCAGUACUGAUAAACUAACAGUACGAGCAUAGGAAACUUAGAAUCAGCUAUAAAAAUAGCACACAUCCCACACUGGUAGGAAACAAAGGCCAACACCCCGAGUGCAAUCCUAUAAACUAGUGACGAGUGCUUAGUUGAAUCACGGAGCCGUGCAGUGAGCGCAGAGCGAACUAUUCUUUCGCCUUUUACUAAAGAAUACCGUGUGCUCGCUGCUAUGAGCGGCAUACGCCAAUUUCUGGAGGGCUCUUCAUGUUGGAGAGCUGCAACAAUUCCAGUUUAAGCUUCAUAUGGUGUUGCUUUCACUUCAAAGAACCCUUACAGAAAUUCAUUUUUGUAACUAGGGUUAAUUAUUUAAGUAGGCACUUUAAUUUUUCUGAUAAAAAGAAGAUUUUCAUAUCUAGUGAAAAACAAAUAGACUAAUUUGUUUAUAUUAGUAUAUAAAGGAUUCUGCAAAAUAAUGGUCUCAAAUAACUAAGAUGCAUUUUCAUUACUUUUUUAAUAAUCUUUACCAAUUUAAAGGUACAGAGAAAAUCAAUUGUGAAUGUUGAUUAAAUAUGUAUUAAAUAUUAUAAAGUGAAAAUAAUAAUUAUUUAAAUUGCAUAUAAUAAAAUUAUUAAAAUUUAUAUAUAUGUUACCGCAAAAAUUAAAAUUCAUAAAAAUAUAAAAUAUCUUAAAUAUAAUUAUGAAACAUAAGUUUUUUUUAGAUCAAAUUAUUAGUUCAUAUUUUUAUGAAUAAAUUAUAUAUUUAAUCAUUGUAUUCUAGUUUAAUCACUUUUUAAUCAUUAGUUUUUAAAUUUUGAACUUUGUCCAGAUUCAAACGAUAGUAGUAAUUUCAUUGGUAAAAAUUUUCCAUUAAUCUCAUAGUAUACUAAGUACUAAGUAGUACAUUUAGCAUAUAUUUUAAUUUAAUAAUUUUAAUAUUUAAAUUUUUUUUAAAAUAGAGUUCUAACUAAUUAUAAAAUUCAUUAAUUAAAAUAAAAUAAUUUUUAUGAAUAUUAUAUGAAAAAUUAAUAUCACACUACAUAUGUAAAAAUAUGUUUCUCGUGUAAUAUUUUAAAAAUAAUAGAAUGAAUUUAAAUCCAAAUCGAGGUUUCAAAAUUCGAUUAAAAAUAUCAAAAUAAAGUAAAAUUUUUGACCUGAGAAAGUUAAAGCAGCGAGUUAAAAAGCCCAUAGAUAGUGGCCCACUUAGCCCAAUCCAACCUUUACUACCUAACGGCUAGUCUCAUUUAAAUUCUAACGACGUCAAGUCUCCGUUCAAUUAAUUUUAAAUUCACGGCAUCCAUCUCUUAACGGCUCUUUUUGAAUCAUAUAUCUGUUUCUUUUGUUCCCUUUCUCUUUUUUUCUUCCAUUUUCGUACAUAUUUUCUCUCCGUAAUCUUUCAAUUCUGAGAAACAGAAAAUUACCAGAAAAAAUUAGACUUUGGCGGAAUCCCCAUCAGAUGACGAAUCUAUUAUCUCUAAACCAGGUACAUUUCUGGGUUUUUCUUAUCUUCUAGUUUUUUUUUUUUUUUUUGCUCAGCUAUUUUUAGUUUUUUAGAGAAAGACUUUGAGAAACCACUCAACCUUCCAUUAAAAUAACAAUAAAAGAGCCAAGGAUCAAAUGUAGGAGAAAACUGAUAACUAAGUCCUUUUAGCCUUAGUCCUCUUGAAUUUAAGAAAAUAAUCAUUUUCUGCUUGUAGGUUUUUUUUUUUUUUUGCAUUGUGAAGUUUUAAUUUGAAAUAUAUACAUAUUUAUUUUGUUGUUAUGUAGCUUUAGAUUUUUUUUUUCAAUUUACAUUUUUUUAUAAUUAGAUUUUGUAUUAUUUUCUGCCCUCCGUUUGUUUCCCCAGAGAUCCAUAGAAAAGAAAAUGACAAUUCGGUUUAAAUUCCUAAAGAAUUCUGAUGGAUUAUACUUUUUAUAUGCUCAUAUAUAUUAUGGUCAUUUUCACUCCUAAAAGAUCUGUGCUUUGCUUACAAACAGGUGUAACUUUUUAACUAUAUUUUCCGGGAAAAAAAAUGGCAAAGGAAAAAGUUUAUGAAGAGCUAGGAGAAGUUAAAGUUGAGAACGAAAAGUUAAGGGAAGAUUUCAUAAGCAAAGCUGAAUUAUGUGAGCACUUGAAGAAAGUGCAGAAUGAGCAGGUAAAGAAGAUCCGAGAAGCGAGUUCCAAAAUCGAGAAGUUGGCACAAGAGCUUCUUGAAAAAGAAGAAGAAAUCACGACAGUAAAGCGAUCAAAUGAAGAACUUAAAUGCAUCCUGAAUGAAAAAGAAUCUGCUGUCAAGCAUUUGAAUGUUGUAAAUGAGAAGCUGAGAGCUGAGCGUGAUGAAAGGAAUCGGAAAUCGGAGCAGGAAAAUCGAAGGUUGGUAUUGGCUUUAGAUGAAGCAAAUGAGGUGAAUAUAGAUCAAGAACAAAAGAUUAAUGUGCUUAAAGCCGAGAUUGAAGGUCUAAAAAUGGACCUAUCUGUUUCAAAGAAGAAGUGUUUAGAAGCCGAGAAGGCAGCCAAAAAUCCAAGGGUGCUGAGGGAAAGAGAAGAUUUGUUAAUCAAAGUAGAGGAAGAGAAGAGCAAGGUUGAAGAUCAGCUAAAAUGGAAGAAGGAGCAGUUCAAACAUUUAGAAGAAGCCCACGAGAAGCUUCGGGACCGGUUCAAAGCAAGUAAGAAAGAGUGGGAGCAAGAAAAAUCUGCAUUGCUCGAUGAGAUUUCUUCACUGCAGACAAGGUUAGAUUCAGAGAUCCGAGUAACGAGAGACCUCCAAAACCGGUUACAGGUGUGCAAUCAAGCCUUAUCUCGUGAAGAAACCCGAAGAAAGCACCUCGAAGUUGAAGUUUUGGAGUUCAAAACACACUAUGAAAACAUUUUCUCGGAAUGCCAGGAUGCAAAAUCACAACUGGACUGCUUGAAUUCUCAGAGGGACAAUGAAGUUGCAACUUUGAGACAUGUAUUGGGCACGAAGGAAUCGUUUUAUAAGGAAAUGGAAUAUCGAUCCGGAAAGCUGGAACAAGAAAACCAAGAGUUGCUGACAUCCCUCAAAGAACUCCGGGAAGCUAGAAUUCAGGAAGCUGGAAGUUCCUCGUCUCUUUCAAAACUGAAAAACAAGCUCAGAAGUGUGGAGCAGAUGCACAAGGACUGUUCAACAAAUCUUAGAGCUAAAGAAGCCGAAUGGAACUCUCAGCGGGAGGAAAUGACUAGGAAAUUAAACGAUUACAGCUCUCAGUUACAGAGUAAAGAUGCCGCUCUUAAAGUUCUCGAGAUGGAACUUGAAGGUUGCCUAUCUUCAGCUGUACAGUUGAAAUUGCAGAAUGAGGAGAUUUCCGUGAUGUUGCUAGUACUGAAGUCGGGAAUGUCAGAGGCUCGACUGAAACUUGCUAAUGUUGAGGCUGAGUUGGGCCUCCAUGAGAAAGAGAGGAUAGAGGAGCUUUCUAUUCUGAAACAGCAGCUGGAGAUGAAAGAUACUGCUUUGGCCGAUGCUCAGAAAGACAUUGCUGAUGAACGUGAGAGGACAGCGAUUUUAUCCAGGAGGGUUGAUACUUUAGAUCAACUUGAGGAUAAGCAUCAGCUAAUGGAAAAAGAGCUCAAUAGAUGUAAAGAAAUGCUCGAGGAAUCAUCGAGGUGUCAACUUUGGUUGAAAGAACAAGCUUUGCAGGUGGAGAAUGAUUCAAAAGAAAAAAUUCGAGAAGUCUAUGAUGCUUUAGAUGCACUGAAUUCUGAACUGGAAGAAGAACGGGAGAAUGUAGCAUCUUUGUUAAGGAGAGUUGAGUCCUUGGAUCUUAUCGAAGGACAGCGGCUCCUGCUGCAGAAAGAGCUCGAGAAGUGCAAGGAAAUGCUCGAGGAAGCCGCUAAGUCUCAAAUACAGUUCAAAGAGCAAGCUUUGCAGAUGGAAAAUGAAUCCAGAGAGAAACUUAGAGAAGUUUGUGAUGCUUUAGAAACAACGAAAUCUGAAUUAACCGAAGAACAAGAGAGAACAGCUUCGUUGACGAUAAGGGUCGAGUUUUUAGAUCAGAUUGAAGAGCGGUGGCUCCAGACACAGGCAGAGCUUAAGAGGUAUAAAGAAAUGCUCGAGGAAGCAUGUAGGCGUCAAUGUCAGUUAGAAGAGCAAUCUGUGCAUAUGAAAAAUGAACUCGGGGAGAAAUUAAAAGAAGUUUCUGAUGCUUUAGAAACUGAAAACAUUGAAUUGGCUGAAGAACGUGAGAAAACAGCUUCGCUAAUGAAGCGGAUUGAAUCGUCAGAUCAGUUGGAAGAACAGUUGGCCCUGAAGCAGAAAGAACUUGACAGAUACAAUGAACUGUUAGAGUCAUCCAGGUGCCAACUUCUAUUAGAAGAGCAAAUUUCUCGGACUGACAGUGACUCGGAAAGGGAACUGAAAGAAGUCCGCAAUGCCUUGGUGAAAGCAAAUUCUGAACUGUCAGAGAAAACUCGUGAAGGACAUGAACUCAAAUUUGAAUUGUGGAUAUGGGAAUCAAUCGCUGAGCGGUUAAAAGCCAAGCUUGAAGAAAGUCAGGCAUUGCGUAAAGAAUUAGAAGCUUCUCUUCUUGCACAAAUGGAUGUGGAGGAAAGUAUCAAGAAAGAGAAAGAAGACCUUGUCCGUAUAACCGAAGAAAAAGAUGGGAGAAUAGUUAAUCUCCAGCAGCAAAUGGUGUCACUAGUGCAAGAGCACACAGUUAGAGAACUAGAAGAAGCAGCCAAUUCGGCAGAGGACAGCGUUCAUCAACAGACAAGAGAACACGAAGCUGAAUUGGAGGCAAAGCAUAUGGAAAUGGAGGCUUUGGUCUAUGAACUCAAGGGUGAAAACAACACCAAGUUGUCAACAGACCGCGAAAACCUUCUUGGAUUUGUUACGAGCCUAGGUGAUUGGAUCAGCGAGUUCUCCGGUGAAGACGCUAAGCUGAUGGGGAUUUUGGGGAGGAUAGUGCAGUCUUUUGACAAUUGCAUUUCAGACAUGAAAGGUAAUGAUGAACUUUAUGACACUCUCAAGGAAAACAAGAAGAGUCUUAUUUCUUCUCCAGCAGCUAGAAAACCUGAUUCUCUUGUUGAAGAAAGAUCACCUUUUAGAGAGCUCAACUAGAAAUUAUUGAUUUCAUUUUCCUUUUCGGCUUCUGUAUAUGGAUAAAUUCGUGCAUGUAUUAUCUGCCAGUAACAGUUUACCACUUAAGAUUCAUUGUUUCAUUUUUAAAUAACAAGAUAGCAUGUUUCUAAUGUAAUUUACCUUGUACGAUUAUCUACUGCAUCAGAUAUGGGUAUAUACAUAUAUAUAUAUAAUAUUUGGAAGGUUUUUAGAGUCAUAUCCGUCCUUGCUCCUUAGUAUAGAUUAAUAUUUCAAACAAAAUAAAUGGACUUUUUGCGGAUUUAUAUGAUUGAAUUCAAUUUUCACAAAUUAUUAACAACAUUAUCGAAUUAGCACCAUUUUAUAUUAAUAAAUUGCAUACACAAACAAUUAUAUUGAUUCGAUAUGAAAAUAAAUAUAUGUAUUUGUUUAUUUAAAUGUGUACAAUUGAAUCAAAAUAAAAAUUUUAUGAAUACAUAUAAACCAUAAUUCAAAUUUACAUAUAUAAUUACACCAAAUAAAAUUACACAUUAAAUUAAAAUAAUUCACGUAUAAACUUACAUAUUUAUCCCUUUCUAAAUUCUCUAAUGUUUUAGAUCAUGAAUGACGACAACACCUGUCCUGCAUGCCAGCUAGGAGAAACGUGAUCCUGAUGUAAGAAAGCUCUAACCAUGAAAUGACAAAAACACCCUCAUAUCCUAGUUCACCAUGCAUGUCCAAAAGUGGUAUUUCAAAUUUUACGGAAAUUUAUUUAUUUAAUAUAAAUAUUUAUUUAAAAGAAUUAAAUGAAUUAUAGCGUAUAGAUUCUAUAACUGGCAAGUGGCAACACAAUCCAUAAAAACAUAAACCCUUAUAUUUAACCGCACAAAAUAUUUCUUUAGUUUUUCGGUUCUUCCCUGUUCCGAGUCUGUUCUCUCUUGCCGCCUCCUAAGAAUCCGAUCCGAAUCAUUUGGGUUUACCCAAUAUUUGGCCCGUCGUCCGACCAUUUCUACUUAGCGGCGACGUUCUGUCGCCAAAACCGACCCUUAAUCCCAACCCCAAUCUCUCUUAAAAGACUUAAACCCCAAUGACUGAUAAAUUCACUUUUUGUCAAAAAGUUGCUAACUCAUCUCAAAACAAUGGUCAAACCAUCCACAAUAAGUCUGCAGAAGACCAAAGACGGGAAACCCAUUCUUUAAACAUGGGUUUCGAUCAAAAGAGAGGUGUAAAGCGAGGGAAAAAUGGGAAAAAUGAGCGGAAGAAAGGUCCUGGAGAGACGGGAAAUGUAAAGGGCUCAUUUUGGACUGCAUGUUCCUACUGCUAUUACAAGUUCGAGUAUGAGAAGAAGUAUGAAGAGUGCCGCUUGCGUUGUCGGAACUGUAGAAAAGGAUUUCAUGCAGUGGUGGUGUCGCCGCCGCCGGAAGGUUUAGCUGUGAAAUAUAGUUCUGGUAAUAGUUCAAUGGGUGACAAGAAGGAAACCAGACGGCGAGGUAAAGGGAAAAGGCAUGAUGUUGUGGAGAUUUCUGAUAGUGAUGAUGAGAAGAAGGAAUUGGGAGUGAAAAUUGAGGCUAAUAAAGUGAAAGCAGAAGGUUUCAACAAUAGUGAAGGUAGUGUUGUAAUGAAAAGACUAAAAUCUGUGGCAAGGAAUACAAAGAAAAUUGCAGGAAGAGGGAUAAAGAUCAAGAAAGUUGAGAAUGGAAUUGCAGAUGGUUGUAAUGAAGAUGAAGUGGAGGUCGUUGAUGAUAUAUUUGUUGGUUUGAGAGAUAUUAGCUGAUGGGAAAUCAAUGGUAUUAAGGGAUCCCUCACCAUAUGCUUGUAUGAUUCCCAACAGUAGACAGGUUAACAUGAAAGCAUAAUGUAUGCUUAUGUAGGCUAGUUUAGCUGACACUGUUGUUUACUAGCCUCAUUGUUGAAAAUAAAAUGCAGUAGUUAUGGCAUGGUUCUUGAAUCUUGACCAAAUUGUCGUUAUUUCAUCGCUAUUAAUUAAUGGAAACUGUGUUAUGGUUCUUGAGCAUGUGUUUUGAUGUUAUGUUUUAACUAUUUGUUCUUGAAGGGAUUGUUAUUCUCUGUUUUGAUGAUUUGUAUGUUAGAAGGGGCUUGAUUGAUAGUGUCAACUACUUUUUCUUUAACUGUUUUUGCAGGAUUUAGAGGACAGUUAUAUUUACUUGUGAAGCUGUUUGGCUUGAAUAAGAAUUCAAGCAGAAAUUUCCUGAUAAUCUCUCUCAAGCUCUGCAAGCCCAGUGUUAGCUUCUUUUGUUCAAAUGAAGAUUGACCCUUGGAUUAAAUCUAUGUUACUUGGAUUAUUUAUUUUCCUAAAGUACCCAUGUGUGACACAUAUUCGGAUAUGGGUACAGGUACAUCCUCCAAUAUAUGUAAUACUUAUGUUGGGCAUAUUCCUAUAUUCAACACACUCAAAAUGUCUUUCUGUGUUAUAGACUGAAUUUGUGGAUGCUUAGAAAUGGUGUCCUAGACACUGUCAUUGAUGUCCUAGACUGAAUUUGGUCUUCAUUCAUACAAAAAUUUCAGAAUGUCAGCUAUAGAAUUUCCAGUACUUCUUUGACUCAUACUGAUACUGCACUUAUAGAGUUUGAUAUUCCUAGAUGGUGAAAUCUAGCAUUUUGUCAUGUUAAGCUCUUCUUGUGCAUUUAUCUAUUAACAGAAUAUUCUUUUUCUGAAGCUAACUUUGAUUUUAGUUUAACUUGCUUAUGUUGUCAUGGCUGUGAGAGAGUUGACAAUUUUUUUUUUAACUCCAGACAUGGAAUCAUAACAAAAUCAUGCAUAUUGGCCAAUAAAAGAAAUUUUCCUUUUUACAUGUUUUGUAAAUAAACUGUUCUUUAUAGUUUAUUUUCAUAAUUAUAUAUUUUUAGCUUAUUAUAUAGGCACGCAUGCAAAAACACACACAUACAUAUUGCACUUCACUUUGGCCUGAUUAUCAUGCAAAUCAUUGGAAUGUACUAAGGAUUAUCCUACACUGUGGCUAUUCCAAUUUUUUUUUUUUAUUUUGUUUCUGUGAAGAAUGAAAUGAUAAAAUUGUGAAACAAACUUCAAGAUCAUAAUCAACAACUCCUAGAUACCAAUAUCUUAAAGAGUUAAAUGUCUAGAUUAUAUCAAAUAUUUCAUAAAAUCAGCCCAUGCUUGAUACAUUAACUCUCAUUUAUUAGCUUCGAUAUCUCUUAUUCUCUUUAUUGCGUGCAUAUGCCAUCUCGCUAAUAAGCAGUAAAAGGGAAUUACCUUGUUCAAUCUUGGAUCAAAAUCUCUCUUCCGAUCUACAAUCUUUCUUUCUACUGAACAAGUUCUACUGGAGGAAAAUCUGAGCUCCCCCAUGGUUCGUCUUAAACAGGUAACGGUUUACUGUUUUUCCCAUUUUCUCAUUUCUUAGUCGAGCAAUCUUCUUAUAAUCAUUUGUUUGUAUCUUCUGGUUUGUACCUACAGUUAGAACAGGAUAUACAACAGCAUCUCAGACGUUACCGUGCUUCAAUUUCCACCAUUGAUUUCAGCUUCAAAAGUUUGAAAAAGGUGACUAAACCUAAGGCUGAGGCCAACAUAGCCAAUGCCCAGAAACAUAAAACUGCUGAGAGGCAUCGAAGAAAGCGGAUCAGCCGACAGUUUGACAUGCUCCGAACCAUCCUACCGAACUUGAUCAAAGUAAGUGACGAAGAGAUUACAUAAAUUUAAUUACCAUUACAUUGAACUGUAGAUAUGAUAUAUUAACUUUUUGCAGAAAUUUUGUGGAAUUUUACUUAUUAAUAACAGCUUACAUAAAACAUGGGUAUUGGGUUUGGGUUUAGGCCUGUUAGUUCAUGAAACCAUCUUUAAGAGGUGAUUGAGGUUUGAAUUUCAGCAUCUGCAGACCCUUCUAUUCCUCUAGUCUUAUGUUCCCAGAUUUGGUGCGAGUGUCAGCCAUAGAUAUUUAUCCUACACUAGUAUGCUUAAUUUGUUUCGCUCACUUUUUCAAUAUAUUAGAGGAUCAUACCCCCAAUCUUUCCAUGUAUCAGAUGCAAAUUUCAAAUACAGGUACUUUAAGAAAAAGAAGAGUUCAGUAACAUAACCCUAAGCAACAGUCUCCUUUAUAAAAAUGAAAGGGUACUCAAGUCAAUCUAUUCAUUUCGUGCAACAGAUGGACAAGGCAUCUGUGUUGGGUGAGACAGUGAGGCAGGUAAGGGAGCUGAAAAACAGAGUAAAAGAAAUGAAAGGAGCUUCUAACGGAAGCUUGGAAUGUGUGCUCCCUGGUGAGUUGAACAGCUUAAGUUUUGGUUUUUCUGAAAAGGAUGGGAAUUUGGUAAAGGCUACAUUCAGCUGCGAUGACAGGCCAGAACUGAUAGCUGAUCUCACACGAGAAAUUAGGAAGGUGAGUGGGACGAUUGUGAGGGCUGAGAUGGUGUUUAUAGGAGGAAGGAAUAAAAGUGUGUUGUGGAUUAAAGGGUUUAGUGGAAAUGAACGGAUGGGGAUGCUCAAGAGAGCAUUGAAAAUGGCCAUAGAUAUACCUAAGAAGAAUUGGAACCCUCGUUUCAACAUCUGAUUAUUCUGUUGUGUGUGAAAUGGUAGUAAUUUCUAGCAGCUAUAAGGCUAUCGAAAAGGUUGGUUUUAUGAGUAUAUUUAAAGAACAAAUAAUGGUGAAUAGUGUGCUUUGUGUAUUCAAUUUCAUAGAUGUAGUUCUAUGACCUAGAACAACAGUUCGAAACACGACUGCCUCAAUUCUCAAAUUUAAUUAAUUUAUUUUCGUAAUAUGAUCUACAAGCACGACACAUUCGAAUGUUUCAAAACACUUACAAGUCGACAUCUUAAAUUUUAAACACAAUAGUUAUGAUAUGAUAAAAUACAGGUACAUGCCAAGCCUAGAUUUAGAUCACGUACCGAUCCUGCCUGUUCCUGGAAAGCUGAGAAAAUUGCAAAGUCGGUUUCACCGCUUAUAAAACACAAGUUCUCUGCUACGAUUGGUUUUGAUAGUCUCUUCUAAUUUCACAAGCCGAUCAAAAUCAACUUUGAAUGAAACCAUGGCAAUCCCAUCUUCGCCAGUAUCAUAAUCCUGUUUAAUGUCCUCUGGUACAAUUGUUUUGCUUGAAAUAAUUAUGCAUACGACUAACAGAAGCUAACGAUUAACCCUAAAAUAUUAAUUUACUUGGAAAACGAGGCAUAAUUCUAAUGCAAAACAAUGCUCACUUGACGGUAUAGAACUCGCGAGAGAUCGAAAGGAACAUCCACACCCAUUGGAACCUUUCGGAAAUUCCAAUCAAAUAUUAGAAUUUCAAUGUAUUGAAAUCGUAAAAUCUUCAAUUGUUUUCUUGCUUUAGAUUUGACAAGACAAAUCGGAGCAUUUCUCAAGCAUUCCGAUGUCACUCUACCGUAAGCCCUAACAAGUCCUACCGUUCCCAAUUUAAUUCCCCCAAAAGUAAUUAAUUUUACCUGAUGACGACCACAAUGACUUUAUCCAAACCCCAAAAAGCAACCGAAGAAUGAAUCGGCUUCCCCGCCGUUCCAGAAGGUUCACCGACAUCACUCGACCGGUACUGAUCCCCAACCUAUAAUCCUUCUAACAACGUCAAAUUAUGAACUGAAAUUGAAUCAGAUAACCGAAGCUGCGUAUUAGAUACCUUAUAAGCCCAGCAAUUGUGAGUGGCACGGGGAUCCUUGACCUGACUGAGGAAAGACUGAGCAGAUGGUUAGUCGGAGAUGGGGCCAGCAAUGACUAUGAAUUUGGUCUUUUCUAUUUCCUUCUCGAAUGUUACUAUCUCUUGGAUUGUGGUAAAUGCGCCUCCAUUAGUGAUGAUGCUGGAGCUUCCGGCGGUGGUGACGGUAGGUUUUUUCUCUCUCGUUGCCGUCAUUAACCGUAUUCAAAUGGAAAGUCCAUUCAAAUUUGGACAAAGCAUCGACAUCUUGUUGCCCAGUCUUUUAAAACUAUUUUGUCGUUAUUAUGUUGAUAGUCAAACCGCUUCGUAGUUCGAACAUUUUUUUAAAAUAUAUAUAUCUCUGUUUAAGGUUUUAAAGACUAGUUUAUCAAUGUUUUUAAAAAUUAUGAAAAGAUAUUUUUUAAAAAUUUGGUUUAAAAUUUGAGUGUUUAGUAGGUUAUUUUACCAAAAAAAUCCUUUUUUAAAAAAAUUUACUGAAAUGGGCCGACUUUUUGAUUAUUUAUCGGAAUAGGUCAUUUUUCGCGAAAUCGCGUCCACGUCAACGCGAUGUCAGGGUACGUGUCAGACAUCGCGUGCACGUCAGCGCGAUUUGCUGACGUGGAAGGAAAUCGCGCCCCCUAGGACGCGAUUUGCUGACGUGGCAUGAACAGUGUGUUUUUAGCUUGGAAAACUUUGAAAGGCCAUAACUUUUGGCUCGGUUGUUCGGUUGAGACGAAUUUUUUUUAUUUCGAAUAACUUUUUGAGAUCUACGCGCUGGCAAACUGCUUAGAGAUGAAUAGGGACUAAUUUGUAAAGUAUAAUUUGUUAGUUACGAGUAUAGGAACUAAAGUGUAAUUAUUUCAAAAUUAGCAUGAAAUUUUUGUAUUUAAGAAUAUUUGAAUGUUAUGGAAGGAUGAAUUUGAAUUUGAAUUGAAAAACGAAGCUUAGAUUUGAAAAUAUGACUAUUUAGGUUUUAGGGACUAAAUUGAAUAAAAUAUAAAAUUUUAGGGAACUUCUCAAAAGUGGAAUGAGCUAACUUAUACCUAUAACAAGAUGAUAUAAGACAAUUCUGCAAAAAAAUAUCCGGUGUUUACUUCAAAUAAAUGAGGAAAAUAACGAUUUGAAUGUUUAAAAAUUCAAUUUUAAACCGAAAAAAUCAAAAUUUAGGGGCAAAAAAGGAUCUUUUUCGACGAAAACUUCGGCAAACCGCCUUCGUCUCAAUCGGACAACCGAGCCAAAAGUUAUGGCCUUUCAAAGUUUUCCAAGCUAAAAACACAAUGUUCAUGCCACGUCAGCAAAUCGCGUCCUAGGGGGCGCGAUUUCCUUCCACGUCAGCAAAUCGCGCUGACAUGGACGCGAUGUCUGACACGUACCCUGACGUCGCGCUGACGUGGACGCGAUUUCGUGGAAAAUGGCCUAUUCCGGUAAAUAAUCAAAAAGUCGGCCCAUUUUGGUAAAUUUUUUUAAAAAAAAGGCUUUUAUUAGUGAUUUCCCCUGUUUAGUAUUGUUGUUAAAAAAUAUUUUUUAAAAAUAAAAUAUCUAUUUUAGACAUAUUAUUAUCAAGUAACAAAUAUGUAUUUAAAUAAUAUUUAAAUUAAUUAAUAUUAUUAUAUUUUAGUAAGAAUAUAAAAAAAUCAUUAUAACUUGUUAAUGUUUGAAUAUGUGAAAUAUAAAUUUUAAAUAUUUUUAAGUAAUAAAUAUUAAUUAUUUAUAAAAUUUAAUUAGAUAUUAACACAUUUGUAUUGUUUAAAAAAAAUAUUUUUUAAUUAAUGAUUUUAAUAUAUUUGUAAUUAAACACCAAGAAAAAAAAUUAAAAAUAUUAUGUUAUUAAAUGGGUGAAAAAGUAAUUAAACACUAAAAAUGUUUUUGGGAGAAUAAAAGCUAAAACUUUUAGAUUCUCAUUUACAUUUAUAAAUGUACUUUUUAAAAACCAAAAAUUUCAAUUAAAAGCAGUUUGCUUAGCACAGAGCCCUAAGCUUUGUUCAGCCAAGUUGGAUGCGGUCCAUUUUGAAAGACAAAAAAAAUGAUAAUUAAAAUUUAUUUUUUAUAUUAAUAGUUGCACAUUAUAUAAACAUAUUUUUAUGGGUAAACUACACCAUAGGUCACUCAACUAUUGAUUUUUUUAAUUUGGUCACCCAACUAUUGGUCUUUUUUAUUGGUCACCCAACUAUCAAUUUUUUAGUUUGGCCACUCAAUUAAUCAAGAUUAUUAUUUUUGUCUAUUUCUAUAAAGUGUCACUAAAUCUCUGACGAGAGGGUGACAUGGCAAUUAAAAAAUUAGUACAAUAAUAAAAUUAGCCCUAAACUUUUACUUAUUAUAUGAAUUUAAUCAUAAUUUCAAAAAAAAUUAACCCUUAAAAUUUACCAAUGAUCUUAAUUUGAUCCUCAAAAUUUAUCUUCUUCUCCCGCUUCCCUCACUGCCAUUACCAUCAUUGUUUCCACCUCUACCACUACCUCCAACUAUCAAUAUUGUAAUAGCAAAAUCUGAAAUUGAUCUAAGAAUAGCAUGCUUAAGAUUUUGUCUUUAUUGUUGUUUGUGGUAGCUAGAAGUAAUAUUGUAUUUCAAAUGUUAGACAAUUUUAGUUAAAGCAAAAUAUAUUUUAUUUCUUAAAAUAUCACACUAUUAAUAUUUUUAAUAAUUUAUUUCUCAAAAGCAUUAUCAAAUAUACUUCAACCCCCAUGAAUCUUAAAAUUCUUAAAUUCAAUAGUAUAGUAAAGGAUACCCCCUUCCCUUUUUUUAUACCUCUUUUAUCUAUUAUUUGGAAAAUAAAAGUUAAUUGUACUAAAUAUCUUUAAAUUUAUUUUUUAAUUUUAAAACAUUUUAAUUAUAUCUUUAAAUUAUCGGUUCUAUAUCAAUUAAGACAGUUAAAUAACAUGUCUAAUCUUAUUUGACAUAAUUUAAAAUAUUAAAAAAAUAAAACAUUACCAUAUAACUUUUAAAAGUUAAAACUAAAUAUAAAGUAAAAUAGAAAAAAUAGAGAACAAAUGAUAAAGCUUUUAUAAAAGCUUCAAAAACCUCAAAAUUGGGAUCUUUACAACAUUUAUUUUUAUUUAAAUUUUUUAUUUUAGAAUAUGUCACAUAAUAUUUAACAUCUUAUUUAACGAUUAAUUUAAUGAUUUUAAUAAUGGAAAGACUAUUAACACAACUUUGAUAGUUUGAAUAUGUAAUUAGAAUAUUAAAAUUUAUGAAUCAAAUUAAAAUAAAAAUUAUAGUUUAGAGAUGUAUAAUGUAAUUAACUCAAAAAUAAUUUCAUUAUUUAUGGCCUUAUUUAUUCCAAAAUGUUAACUAUUGCAAAACACGAAAAUUGAGUAUCAUAUUAAUCAGUACGUAAUGAAAUUCUCCGUACCAGCCAAAUAAAGGAAAGCUAAACAUUCUUUUUUUGAAUAAUUUCAUUAGAUGUUUUGAUCAUAUUUAUUCUUUUUUGACACAAUGUUUAAAACUACCCAUAGCUCCUCUCAACCCAUAAAUAGGAGGAUAAUGCUCUUCAACGCACUUGAACCCACAUCCCCUGCAUUGACAAAAUGUCCAUAUCAAUCGAGUUAAGACUCAAUAAACAAGGAAAACUAAACAUUAAUUGGUAUGUAAUGAUAUUAAAAUUUUCCAAUACAUUUAAACAGUAAUGAUUAUUAUAUUAAAUAUUUAAAAAAAUGGAAUAGCUUCCCUUUUAUUGAACACAAGGCUUAAUAUUUGGUACUUAACACUAUUUCUUAAUUUGACAUUUAAAUUUUUUUUUUAAAUUUAGUAUUUGAACUUACACUUUUUUUAAUUUGAUAUCUGGAUUUGAUAUUUUUUUUUCCUUAAAUUGAUACUUAAUUUUUUGGGGUCCAAUUUGGUACUUAAAUUUGACUCUCUUUUUUUUUAAUUUGAUGCGUAAUUUUUUUUCUUUUAUGAUUUGGUACCUAAACUUAUCAAAGAUUAUACAAAUUACUCCAAUAUACUAACAAUGUUAAUUUUUUUAUAAGGUAGCAAAAUAAUCAAUGUAUGACAAACAUAUAGCAAAUGAUAUGAUAUUUCUUUUUUGUAUUUUAAAUGUUCAAUUAUUUUUAGUUUUAUUUAUUUAUUUCAUUUUAUUAAUUUAAAUUAAUGAAUUUAUUUUAUUUUGGGUUUUUAGAACUCUUAUUUUCUUGUUCAAUAUUAAUCCGUUAAGUAUAGCUAAAUGCAUAAUUCUUUUAACACAAAUUUCUUCUAAUAUUGACGAUAAUUUUGUAACAUAGUAUCAAUUUUUUAACACCAUUAGUGUUUUGAGAUAAUUUAUAUAUCAUUUAACAAAAUUGGAUACCAAACUAAACCUAAAAAAACUUAAAUACCAAAUUAGCAAAUUGUUAAGUACUAAAUUUAAAAAAAUUAAGUAUAGAAACUAAAAUAUUAUACUAAGCCUAAACACAAUAUAACGGUUGCUAUUAGUGUAAGGAAUUCGAUAAGUAGAAUAAAUAGUAUAAAAAAAAUUUAAAAGUAUUUAUUUGUUUAAUAACAUAGCUUUCCAAUAAUUUUAACAAUUAAAAGUUUAUUAUUUAUGGAUAAAUUAUAAAAUAAAUUUCAUCAAUUAUAUUUCAAAAUAUACAUAUUAUUUGUUGUUUGACAUUAUAAGAUGUCUAAAAGGGUUAAAGAAAUAUUUUAUUAUAUUUAGGGGCUGGUAGGCCCCACUCUCUAAAAUCGAAAUUUUUCUAUUUAGAUUUUUUAAAAUUUUUAAAUUUUUAAAUUAAUAAAAGUAUAAAUGUAUUUUAGCUCCCCUACAAAUUUGAUUUAAUCUUUAAAAAUUAUAAAGAUAAAGGCUAUUAAAAUGGUGAAAUUAUAUUUUUAUUAUCGUAAAAAUUCUGGCUUCACUCAUGUUAUAUCAUUUGUUUAAAAAUAUUUUCAUUAUAGAUUUUGAUCAUAAUUUUUGAUACAAUAACUAUAACUAUCCAUAGCUUCUCACCAAUUCAAAAAUAGGUGGAUAAUGCGCUUCAACACACUUGAAUCCACAUCUUCCACUACACCAAAACAAGCUUUUAGCGGCACUUUUAGCGGCGUUUGGAGCAAAAGUGCCGCUAAAGAGUGAGCAAUAGCGGCGUUUAAUUAAAAGCGCCGCUAAAGAGUGAGCAUUAGUGGCGUUUAAGGAAAAGCGCCGCUAAAGAGUGAGCAUUAGUGGCGUUUAUAGAUAACGCCGCAAAUAAUACACCCAGACGGUGCCGUUUUGUGGCCUUUGGGGGGGGACUUAGUGGCGUUUAUUGUAAAGCGCCGCUAAAGAGUGAGCAUUAGUGGCGUUUAUAGAUAACGCCGCAAAUAAUACACCCAGACGGUGCCGUUUUGUGGCCUUUGGGGGGGACUUAGUGGCAUUUAUUGUAAAGCGCCGCUAAAGAGUGAGCAUUAGCGGCGUUUAUAAAUAACGCCGCAAAUAAUACACCCAGACGGUGCCGUUUUGUGGCCUUUGGGGGGGACUUAGUGGCGUUUAUUGCGAAGCGCCGCUAAAGAGUGAGCAUUAGUGGCGUUUAUAGAUAACGCCGCAAAUAAUACACCCAGACGGUGCCGUUUUGUGGCCUUUGGGGGGGACUUAGUGGCGUUUAUUGUAAAGCGCCGCUAAAGAGUGAACAUUAGCAGCGCUUAUAAAAAAAUGCCGCAAAUAAUACUCCCAGACGGUGCCGUUUUGUGUCCUUUGGGGGGGCAUUAGUGGCGUUUUUUGUAAAGCGCCGCUAAUCUAGGUGUUUUAGAGGCGUUUUUGUUUAUGCGCCGCAAAAAAAAUUAUCUUAAUUGAACUAUUAUUUAUAUUAUUUGAAUCAAAUUAAACAUAUUUCUAAUAGAAUAUUUAAAAUCUUCAAUAAAAAAUAACAGGUAUAAAUAAUUUGAAAUAAAACACAUGGAAAAAUUAAAAUAGUAUUAUUUAAAAUAAUUUAAAUUUUAAAGUAUUAUUUAAAGUUUUAAUUUAUAUAUUAAAAAUUUGAAAUUAUUAUCGUAAUUAAAAGAGAUAGUAAGUAUUAAUUUAAAUUUAAAAUAUUUAAUUAAGCGUAUCACUAUAGUUAAUAUAGGGUUUUAGGUUUUAAGGGUAUAUAUAUGAUAUUAUUAAUUUAAGAUUUUAAGUCGGUUUAGGGGUUACUAUUUUAAGGUUAUUAUUAUAAUUGAUCAAGAGUAUAUAUAUAAUAUUGGAUUUAGGGAUAUGGUGUAAGGGCUGAGAUAUAAUGUUUAGGGGUUAGGGUUGGGGUUAGCACUUAGGGGUUAUUAGGAGUUGAUUAAGGAUUUAGGGUUUAGCUAGGGUUUAGAUUAAUUAGUAUUGACAAAUUAUAUUUUAAAUAUGUUCUUAUAUAUAUAACUGUAAAAGAGGUCGUAAAAGAGGUCGUGCUAUUUUAAGGAUUAGGGGGUACAAAUUUAGGGUUUGGGAUGUAAGAGUUAGCUAGGGGUUUAGGGGUUACAAGUUGCAAUCUAGGGGUUAAAGAUUUAGGGUUUAGGGGUCAAAUAAGGAUUUUAGGUUAGUUUAGAUUAAUUUAUUUAAAUAAUAUUUUAAAAAAUCAAUCUAAAGUACCAAUUGAUAUAUUUAAAAAUUAUUUUAAAUAGAAUUCAUAAAUAAGUUAAAAAAUAUAUUGAUAUAUAUUAUAUGGAUGGUUAUAUAUUUAGGUAUAAUUAUUUAUUUUGGAAAUAUAUAUAUAUAUAGGACCAAAUACAUAAGAAAUGAAAUAAAAAAAUAAAAAAAUUCAAAACGGCGCCGUUUUCGAAUGAAUAGUUAAACUUUUAGUGGCGUUUUUAAGAAAAUGCCACAAAUAAUGCAAUUCCAGACCACGAAAACGGUGUCGUUUCUGUUCACAGCUGUAAUAUUUAGUGGCGUUUUUCUAAAAACGCAACAAAAAAUGUAAUUCCAGACCACGAAAACGGUGUUGUUUCUGUUCACAGCUGUAAUAUUUAGUGGCGUUUUUACCAAAAACGCCACAAAACGGUGUUAAUAUAAUCGCUAAACGACGUCGUUUCCGGAACAGAUUUUUAACUUGGAAAAAUUUUAGAAUAAUUUAUUGAAAACGUCAACGUUUGGCUUAAGUAUACGUGGCGGUUUUUAUUAAACGCCACAAAAAAUGCAAUUUCAGACUAAGAAAACGGCGCCGUUUCUGUUAAAAGGUUUAAUUUUUUGUGGCAUUUGGUCUAUAAACGCCGCAAAGGUGUUUUAAAAUUUUUUCUCAACGAUGCCGUUUCUGCAGAUGGCUUUUAACUUAACAUUUUUACUCACUCGUCGACAAAGACAGAAAGAAAAUAUUCUGCAAGUGAAAACGCCGAUUGGGAAGGGGAAAAAACCUAAGAAAAUAUUCUAAGGAAUAAAGGGGAGGAGAAAUCAGAAAUCAUCAAAGAGGAAGCAACGAUUGCGCCAUUCUUGACAGUAGUUGCAGAAUAUCUGGUUAAAAGGUAUGCGUUUAAUCCUUCUGAAGAACAUCGUCUUGAUUUGGGGUUUUGGGUGUAUUGUGUUUUUCGAAUUUGGGGCUUAGAAAAAAAAAUUAAAUUUUAGGGUUUGCGGUUUAGGUUAAAACACCAUUCUUGUUUGGGAAUUUGGGGAACUUGUGAAUUGUUUAUUUAGCAAUUUAAAUAGAAGGGUUUGUUCGGGGUAAAAUUUUGUCUAUUUAGGGGUUGCCCGAAUACAAAACACAGCCAAUAAUAAAACUAGGAGCAUCAAUGGCGUGGCCAUGAAAAUGAAAUUGUUAAGAUUGAAGACAGGGACAGACCUUCCGAUUUUGGGAAAGUCGGAUAUGAUUUGUUGAAGCUAUAAAAAAAGUGCUUUCGCCAAUGACAAAUGCUCCUUUAGUUGGUUUGAGUUAUGUUUUGCACAACUUAGCCUGCUGUUUCUCCAUUACAGCGAUUUUUGGAGAAGCAUAAAAGGGUAACUAAUGGUAGUAUUUGGGUAACUAAUGGGUAACUAAAUUUGAAUAUCUCAAACUAUGGGUAACUAGUGGGUAACUAAUGGGUAACUAAUGUAUUAUCAUCUUUAUGGCUGUGGAUUCUAGAGUUUAAUCUGGGUUCCUUUUAAACAUAUGUGGCAACUAGGACAAUAAGCAAAACUGUUUUAUAUGUCAGUAUAUAUGUAGUCUUGGUUAUUGUGUUAUCGAGAAUAUAUGCCUUUCUUACCAAAUUGGGGAAUCUAGUUUGCCUUUAAUACAUUAAACAACCUGAUAUUGUUCUGUUCUUUAGCAGAUUUUGCUUUUUCUGGUUUGUUUUCUUUUGGAAACAAUGUUGGCAAGGGAUGAAGAAAAUGAUGAAUCAUGUACAAUAUGGGGUUUCAAAAAGUUAGAUUUUGUUAAAAGCCUAGGAAUGAACCAACUUGGAAGAGCCUCAAAACGACUGAAUCUGAUGUCGAUUAUAACUAAAAGAAGCCUACAAUUAAAGAAGUUUAACAUGUACAUGUUCCUUUGGUUAAAAGUUGGAUAAAGGGAGUGACUAAGUUCAUUGAUGGACGGCUGAAUAAUCUCACUUGAAAGAUUGUUCAUAAACUGUCACCCGCCCCAUAUAAUUGUUUUAUGAAUCUUUAUAGUUAAUUUUAAAACUUCAUAUAUGAUUCAAAAUUGAGUAUUGAAGAUAACAUUAAUUAUUUUUAUCAACACAUGACAUAUGUCCAAUCAUGAUUGGUUUAAUUCUACAUUAUAAUUUAUCAACGCAUGACAUAUUGUGAUUAUUUUGUUUAGAUUUUUUUUUGGAAGAAAACUCAUAAAAUAACUUAAAGUUUAAUAGCGUUGUACAUGAUGGAUUUUGGAUUUUGUUAUAUUUAAGUUUUAUACUAAUUCUUUCCUGUUUAUUUGGAACUAACUUACUUAUGUUUUCCUUUUUAUUUUUAUUUUUUGCAGUAGUUUGCUUCGAAGUCCAGGAAAUUGAGGUAUUUAUUCCUAUGUUUCCCACCUCGGUUUUCUUAAAAAAACACCUCCAAAUGUUUAAAUUUUGGAUUUUGUUACUUUAAUUAUUAUUUUUGAGUUUUAAAAGGGAGUUUUAAUUAAAAAAAAAUUUUUUACGCUGUGGGUAUUGGUUUAUUUAUCAUUUUUUAUUUAUAUGUUGCUGGCUCAAUUUGCAUGUUACUUUGCCAAAUUUUUCCAUAACUGCAAGGUAUAAACUAUGAUUGUAAUUCUUGUACGUAUUUUUUACCCAAACAAAAAUAAUUACGCAAAUGAUUAAAAUUCUUAAAUCAGUUUAUAUAUUUGAGUAAGUGAAUAAAUUAUGGGCAAAUAGUGGAUUCGUUUUAAAGUGAACAAAUUAUCGAUUUUCAAGGAUCUUGUCAAUUAAUAAAUUAUCGACGUUAGUUCUCAUUUAUGCGAUUGAAUGUUAAAUUUAUUACUAAAAUACAUUACUUACUAAAAUAAAUUACUUACUAAAAUUUGUUUAAAUUUAUUACUAAAAUACAUUACUUACUAAAAUACAUUACUUACUAAAAUUUGUUUAAAUUUAUUACUUAAAUAUGUUACUUAAAUUUAUUACUUAAAUAUGUUACUUAAAUUUAUUACUUAAAUAAUUAUAAAUAAGAUGCAUAAAAGUGCUAUACUUACAUCAUACAUAUCUUACGUAACCAAAAGAUUGCUAUAAAUAAACCAUUUAUUAAAGAGUAUACCUUAUAAUUAAAUUUUGUUAUCAUGUUAUCAUAAAAGAUAAAAUAAAAUAUAAAAAAAUAUGUGGAAUACUAAAAUUGACUAUUAAAAUAAAAUGUUAUUUUAUUGAAUAUUAUUAAUAAUUAUAAAAAAAUAUGUGGAAUAUUAAAAUUGACUAUUAAAAUAAAAUGUUAUUUUAUUAAAUAUUAUUAAUAAUUAUAAAAAAAUAUGUGGAAUAUUAAAAUUGACUAUUAAAAUAUGUGGAAUAAUCGGAUUAUUACUGAAGUUUUGGGUCCUGAAAGGUAUGGUCGGGUUCGAUUUCAAGGAUCUUUUGUUAGCCCAACCCAAUAUUUUGGAUCCAGCUCCCACCAAUACAUGGCUUCGGGGAGUCAGGCUCAAGCUGAAGUUCAGAGGUUAAAAGACCAAAUGGCUUAGAUGCAAGCGACUACAAUUGAGGUUCAAAGGAAAUAUGAAGAACUCCAGCUACAACUUAAAGCAGAGGCGGAAGCGAGGGAAGCAGCGACUGCAGCGAGGGAAGCGGAGGCUGCAGCAAGAGAAGCAGAGCAGAGCAAAAAGUACGACGAACUUCAGCAGUAGCUUCAGAUUAUGAUGAAGAUGUUUAAGUCGCAACUUCCACCUUCAUAGUGUAUGACAUAAAUAUUUUUAUCAUUUUAACAUUUAACAUUUAACAUUUUUUGCAAAAACAAUAUGAAUUCACUUUUAUUUAUUGAUAUUAAUAUUAUUUUAUUCCCUUAUGUUGAAAUAUUAUAUAAAUUUAUUGCUAUUGGUUGCUUUUGAAAUGUUGCUUUUGAAUUUUUGCUACAGGAGGGCAGAAAAAAUGAAAAAUUUAAUAAAAAAAAUCCCCAAAAUAGUGGCGUUUUUGUAUAAAAGCGCCACUAAAGAACAUGUUCUUUUGCGGCGUUUGUAAAAAAUGCCACUAAAGAACAUGUUCUUUAGCGGCGAUUAGAAAAAAAACGCCGCUAAAGAACAUGAUCUUUAGCGGCGUUUUCCCUUAAGCGCCGCUAAAGAACAUGUUCUUUAGCGGCGUUUUUUCCUAAGCGCCGCUAAAGAACAUGGUCUUUAGUGGCAUUUUUUUACAAACGCCGCUAAAGAACAUGAUCUUUAGCGGCGUUUUUUUCUAAGCGCCGCUAAAGAACAUGAUCUUUAGCGGCGUUUUUUUCUAAGCGCCGCUAAAGAACAUGGUCUUUAACGGCGUUUUUGUUUGUAAACGCUGCAAACAUUUGCGACGUUUUCGUUAGCGGCAUUUUUUCCGGCGCUUGAAGAAGCGCCGCAAAUAUCUUUAGUGGCGUUAAAAAGCGCCGCUAAAGGCCUAAAAAAACGCCGCUAAAAACCUGUUUUGGUGUAGUGUUCAUACAUGAGCAACAAUUCGACAUUAUGUCAUUCAUUUUAAAUGAAAUAAAUCAUUUAAAUAUCUAAUUAAAUAAUUAACCAACUAAAAUAAAUUUUAAAAUUUUUUGAAUGACUUAAUGUUGCCAUUGAUGAUGGAAUUAACAAAUUUUCCUAUAUGUAUAUAAUUGAUAUAUUAUUAAAAGGUUCAAAAGAGGUAAGGUUAAGAAUUAUUUCUGCCAGACUCUAACAAAAUGUCGGAGGCAAAUUCAUAUUGACAAGAUGGCUUCCAUACAUACCUCACCCCUCAUAAUUUAUUUAAAAAAUGAAACUUUUAAUCAUUUCUGGAUUUUAUAUAAUAGCGUAUCCUCCCAAUAGAUUUAUGCCCUACUAUGGAGGCAUGAAUGCUUCAUUAGCAUGUCAUGAUGAUAAUUGUUUUGUACACGAAAAGUCGAUUCAUGGCAAGGUUUGUGAAUGAUCUUUAUAGGUAUGCAAAGUCGAUCAAGAGAAGUAAAUAAGAUGUUUUGGAGGUGAAUUUGGUGUACCGAUCCUUAAAACGUAAGCUUUGGAGGUCAUUGAUAUAAUCUUUCUACUUCUACUUAUACUUAAUUAUGUAGCUUUGUUAAUUGUUUUUCCAAGUUGCCUUUAUCAUUCUACACUUACUUUGUUUGUUGAAGCUUUAGCAAGAUACGCAUGGCUUCGCUGGUAGUUGCUUUUUAGCAAGUUGGGGGCUUUAAGAGGUUGCUCAGAAAUAUCAUUAGGGCUUUCAGAAGUAAACUUGUUUAAGGGUCGGGGGCAACAUUACCUUAAGCUCGAAAGUCUGCUCAAUUUUUAGUAGUGUUUAGAUAAAAAUAUAAUGUUCAAAAAAUGAGGUUACGCAUAAAAAAGAAGAUUGUUUGAAAUAUGAGCAGGGCUCAGAUUGAAGCUUUCAAAGCAUAGCUCGUUUUCUAAAUUUGUAAUAUAUUAUAUUAUGUUAUUUUUAUAUAUCAUGUAUUUUAUGACACAAAAAAGUCAGAUUUUUAUAAAUAGACCUUAUGCCUAGUUCAUUGUUGCUACCAUUGUCUACAAGGAGCAAUGCCUCUUAUUAUUAUUAUUAUUAUUAUUAUUAUUAUUAUUAUUAUUAUUAUUAUCAUCUUUGAUUGGUUUUAUCAAAGGGGGAGGAGACCUUUUGGCUUGGUCCUUAAGGGCAUAAAGUCGACGAGACCUUACACCUUAACCUUCGGUUAAUUCUACUAAGGUAGACGAGACCUCUCUAAGGGACGAGACUCCAAUCCUUGUCUUUCAAUUGUUCUCCAUAUGAGCAUAUUUAUCAAGCUACACAACACAUACCUAGUAACUAUCUUUCUAUUUUAUGAACCUACCUGGGGUGCGAGUGAGAUGGCCUUUUGGGGGUGUGGCAAAGUGCCCCCAAGUGACGCAAACGAGGGACUCCUCAAUGUGUUGGUGAAGUACUCCUUAGGUCCUUAGGUGACCUCCUAAUAGUGUUAGUGAAGGGCUCCUUGGUAGUCCGAGUGAGGGACCCAUAAUGCUAGUGAAGGGGCCUAUUGAUGUGUUGUUGAAGUACUCCUUGGAUAACCCUUUAAUGGUGCAGGUGAUGUGUCUCUUGAUGUGUUGGCAAAGGGUCCCUUAAUGUGCCAACGAAGGACCAUUGAUAAUCCCUAUUGGGUGCGACAGAGGGCUUCUUGGUGUGUGGGUGAUAAGCCCUUUGGUGUGCUAUUGAAGGCUCUCUUGAUGUGGCAAAAGGCCCAUUGAUAUGUCGGUGAAGGGAUUCAUGGUGUGCGAGUGAGGGCUCCUUGUUGAUCGUUUUAUUGGUGCAGUAAAUACUUUUUUUUACAUAUUUGAGGGAAACGCCUUUGUUGCUCCCCAAGGUUAGAAGCUCUCAAAAACCCAAAUAUUAAAAGACUCCAUAAUGCUAAAAGUGUCGGAAAAAACUCAAAAAUGGAGAAAGACAAAAGAGCUUAAAGGAAUUGAGCCAUGGAUUUUCAUCUAGGGAAGAGGCAUUCCCUUUUUUUCUCAAUUCUAACAAACAAUGUCAAUUAUUACAAACACAAGUAGGGGUGGUUUGUGUUGGAACAUAGUGAUAAAUUAUGUUUCUUGUUAUUAAAAGUUAUUGAUAUGGGUCACAAAGGCCCAACUCAAGCUCAAGAACGUGAUAGGCUAUUUUGUGUUCUUGGCUUCCAAGAAUAGCCAUUCAUAAGUGUUUUCGAUUCUUGGCUGAUUUUUUAUUGUUUUGGGUAUUUUCGUUUCAGAUCUAAUUGAUUCUGAGUUAAUUUUCUGUUUCGUUUCGGAUCUGAUUGUCUAAAGCUUUCUUAGGACUUUUCUCGUGACUUGGCAACUCGAUCUUGGUCCGCGCGCAAUCCUCUAUCAGUUAUGUAACUUGACUAUGAACAAAAAGUUACAAUUAUUCAAGUAAUAUCUUAUGAAUAGUUGUGUUCAUUAUUAAUAGAUACGACUAUUCAGAUAAAUAUUUCUUAGAUAGUUAUAUCUCUAUAAAGAGACAUGAUAAUUUUUAUAAAUAGGAGAGAAAUUUCAUUUGCAUAUAUACGAAUAUAUACCAAAAUUUAAAAAUAGAAGUUUCUCUAUUCACCUCCAUCUUAAUAGAAUUUGAUAUUGUUGCUAUACUCCACGUAAAUGCUUAGUGGAUCAUUUUUGUCUAAUGUUUAGUGAAUCAUUUUUGCCAAUACAAAAUAUAAAUAGUCAUUGGACUUGAUUGUAUCAUUGAGACUUAUUUGCUAGUAGGUAAGUUAAUUUUAUCCCUACACAUUAAUGGUUUAUUACGGCGAUUUAUCCAUUUUUGCAUUAAUUAUAAGAUUUUUCAUUAUAUUUCCUUUCUUGGUUCUUUUUGCAAUGGCGUGGCUGUCCUCCUGCUCGAUCCCUCAAUUUCAUUUCUCAUUUAACCCUAAAAACUCAACUUGUCUUUCCCUACAUAAAGCUUCUUUUAUUGCAACAGUCUCUCCUCAGCCCCACUCCCUUUCACUCUCUCUUUUUGGCUUUAUUGUAUAAUGAAAAAUAUGCUCUUCCCCACAAGCCAUUGAUGAGCCCUUUUCAACACAAAGCUUUCACCUUCAUAAUGAAUUAAUUAGUUUUUGCUUUUCCUUUUUCCCCUGGGGUUUUAGUAUACCUCACAUUUUAGGGGUUUCUCUUGAAAAAUGACUGAAAAUCUUGACUGUUCAACCUCAAAUCUUCUCUGUUCUGAGAACACAAGCUCUUGCUUUGAUGGUGAUCUUGAUUUUAAUGCCAUGAACGAGUUUGGGGCUUCCCCUGCUUGUCAUCAACUCUUUAAAAACCAAAUCUUUAAUCAAAAUGACCCUUUCCUUAUGAACAACAGAUCAACUUCUUUGCUGGGUUGUCCUGGUUUUGCAUUACAAAGUGAUGAUGUAAUUAAGGAAAUGGUUGAAAAAGAGAUGGAGCAUUUGCCUAGAGAUGAUUAUCUUAAGAGACUGAGAAGUGGGGAUUUGGAGUUGAGUGCCAGGAGAGAGGCUAUUGAAUGGAUUUGGAAGGUUUGUUUAUUUUGCUAAGCUAUUUUUUUUCCUGAUCAGUUUUAUAUUGACAUUUUACUUGUUUGAUCCAUUUAACCGGUUUUUGUAACUGGGUUCUUGUUUAACUGCAAUAUAGACUUUUCUCAGUAAAACUCAUCGCAUUGUGCAAUUUAAUGGAAUUUCCAUAGUUCGUUUGGAUCAAUCUAUUUCUUAGCUAUUGGUAGCAUUCUUUUAUAUUUAGUAAAUGUGUUUUCCCCCUUUUCUUUCAUUAUUCUUGUAAUUGGACACUUUGUUUGAUCAUUCCUCAGUGAUAAUGUGCUAGGAAUGAUGAUUUAAUCUUUCAUUUUUUAUUAACAGGCUUCAGCUUAUUUCAAUUUUGGACCUUUGAGUCUUUGCCUAUCCAUUAACUACUUGGAUCGGUUCCUAUCAAUGUAUGAUUUACCUGUAAGUUCUCAAAUUAGCUUCAAAUUUGGUUCUUUAAGUUCUUAAACCAUAAUCUAUUCACUGAUUGUUUCUAUCUUCUUGGGGGCACAGAGAGGUAAAACAUGGACUGUCCAACUGUUGGCCGUUGCAUGUUUAUCUAUUGCAGCUAAAAUGGAGGAAACAAAGGUGCCUUCAUCAGUAAACUUACAGGUGAUUACUAUAUAUAUAGAUUGAUUUUUCAUGAUUGUUAAUCCCUUGGGUCUUUUUCCCAAUUUGAGUUUCAUGAUUGGGUUGUUUGCAGGUGGGGGAACCAAAGUUUGUGUUUGAAGCUAAAACAAUACAAAGAAUGGAACUAUUGGUUUUAAGUACAUUGAAGUGGAGAAUGCAAGUUUUAACACCUUGUUCCUUCAUUGAUUACUUCUUGAAUAAACUUUGUAAUGAUCAUCAAUAUCCAUCAUCAACUCCAAUCACUAGAUCAUUGCAGAUAAUAUUGAACACCACCAGAGGUUUAUUUCUCACUAUAUCUAUUUGUUUAUGUUAUUAUUAUUGAGAAUCAAUGGUGUUUGAUUGGGGAAAUGAAUGAAUGCAGGUAUUAAUUUGUUGGAGUUCAGACCUUCUGAAAUAGCAGCAGCAGUGGCCAUUUCUGUUUCAGGACAAAUGCAAAGAUGUGCCAUUGAUAAAGUUAUUUCAUCAUUCAUCUUUGUACAAAAGGUAAAAAUAAAAAAUAAAGAAGAUACAAAAGUGGUGGUGCCUGUAAAUACUUGAAAAACUCACAACAAGAGAAGAGUCAAUUACUUUUAUUUUUUAUUUUGCAGGAAAGAGUGUUGAAGUGUGUUGAAGUGAUGAAAGAUUUGACAUUCAUUAAUGGCACAGCUGCUACUACUUCAGCUACAUCAUCGGUGCCCCAAAGCCCCAUUGGGGUAUUAGAUGGUGCAGCAUGUUUGAGCUAUAAAAGUGAUGAAAUAAAACAUGGGCUAUUUGCAAAUUGUUCUCAUCCUACACCAGAUCUUAAAAGGAGGAAACUAGACAAAUCACCUCAACCGGAUCACAUCUGAAAUUUUCCCUGGAAUAAAAUUUUAAGGUGAAAAAUAAAAAAACAAAUAUGGGUCAAAGUUGAAGAGAAGUGGAUGGUGCCUCAGCCAUUGCCAUGGAGGUGGUGUUUUUGGAAACAAAUACUGCAGCUUUAUUAUUAUUACCAUUUGUUGUAGAUUAGAUUUCAAUUACAGAGAGAGGGGAAAAAUAUCAUGUCAGAAAUUAUAAGCAAAAGAGUGUAAUAUUCUUUCAGGCAGCAAUUAGAGUGUAAUUAUGGGCAUUCUAAUCAUAAUUGAAAAAUGCUGUUAUUUCUUGAUGGUGGGUGGUUUGUGUACUUUUGUCUUAUUUUUACAUAAAAACUGAACCAAACCUCAGAUGUUGACCGGUCUUACUCUAAACCCAAUACUCUACCUUUAAUUUAUUUAAGUUCUGUCUGUUUCUGAAUUCUGAAAUAAAAACAGAAAACACAAAAAUAAAUGUGAGGGCAGAAGCCUUGGGAAUCCGCAGGCCUACUUACUCACUGCCAUCAAAUUUCCCACAUCCUCUUCUCUUUAAAAGUAAUUCAUAUAUUAAUCUUUAUAAUAUGAAAAUGUUACUUUAAUAAUUAUAAUUUAAUUCUAUGACAUGUCUCUGACAAGUUGAUAUAUGUCAUUGAGAAAUAGUUGCUCCACGUGUUCCUUUUUAUAUAAUUAAAUUAUAAGAUAAGCUUGAGAAUAGAAAAAACUUGUAAUAUAUGAUAUCUUAAAUCUAAUUAUGACACAUAAAAUAAUAUAUAUCGUCAAAUAUAAACUAUACUUGUGAAUUUUAUCAUUGAGAUUUACAAUAGCAUUUUUAUCGUCACAUCGUUUUGUUAAAGAAAACAACAGAACAUACAUAGUCUUUGUAUUCUUUCCUCCUUAACAGCCAUCAGAGCUUCCAAGGGAGGGGAGCAUGUAUUAUCAGAUGCUCGAUCCCGAGCAGCCGAGUAAACCCAUUGCACGAUAACGUCGUGUGACGGAGUAUCACGAGAGAUUGUGAUGUCAGCUAUGGAGUUGCAAAGCUUCCUUUAGGCAUGUAACAGCACCGUCAUAGUUUAAGAAGCCCAUGAACCAAAAUUCAUGACUAUCAACGGUGAUAACUUGGAUGUACUUUUCAGCACAAUUGAGUCGGCUCGUUGAAGGAUUAACCGCUUUAAGUUGAUGUAAUGGGAUAACUACCUGUUUUAAGCAGAGAAAGAAUGUCGAGAAUCAUAUGAAUCUCAUAUAUAUAUAUUUCCACACCCAUCAAACACAAAUAUUUCAAUAAAAAUGAAAGGUUAUAACCUUAUAGUAGCUCCAUUCAGUUUGGGUACCAUUUUUAUAGGGAAGGGGAGUGUCACUGCAAUAUGCAAGCUUUGCUGUAGAUACAUAUAAAAUUCCCAUGACAGGUCCAGCUGACGUGGACAAAUAACAUACAAAUGAAUUCCCAAGUUGCUCUUCCGGAUCCGUUACAAAAGUGUGUCUGAAUAUCUUCUCAUACCCACCUUCUGCUAAAACCUUUGUUCCUUGUGCGAUUCUUCCCAUGGCUGCCUCUGCCAAACUCGGGCUUGUUUUUACUGUUUAAAUAGAUUUUUAAGGUUUUUUUCCAAUAUUAUAUACCUAAACUUGGAUUUAAUGUUUAAUUUGAAAGCUAAAGUUUAUUUUGGUUCGAUUAAGGGCGAGUUUAGAUGAGCGGUGCGUUUACCUGCGAUUAGUGUAAAAACAGCGGUGGCGGUGAGAUUAGAUACUGUAGCGAUACUGUAGCGUGAGACAAAAAGUAAGCUAAACGCACCGCACUGCACUCAAUCACGCAUCCAAACCCACCCUAAGUAUCUAAGCUUCGCUUCUUGGUUCAAAAUGGUAUAAGAAAUCAAGCUUAGGUACUUGGUUAUUUGAACUAUGAAAUUAAAUUCAUGUGUUAAUUCAAACAAAAAAUCAAAUCCAGAUACCUAAUUGGAUAAAAAUAAAUUUUAAAUAUCAAAAUAAAUCUUAAGUUCAAUUCAAGUAUAAAUGAAAAAAAAAUUAAAUACCAAUUUUAACUUUGAGGGCCAUAAUAUAUAUUUUCCUUAAAAAAUAUAUAAGAAAUAAAAAAGCAAAUUAACAGGGGAAACAUACAAUGCUGCCACGUGUUCCCUGCAAGAUCCUCGGCUUUUCUCGUGGCUUCUCCCACUUUUCUCCCCCAUCUCCCCAAGACAUCCUUCACAGUGUCCAUUUUCUCUGUGUUCGAUUUCAAGAUGAAUUAAAAUUUUCAAAAUGAAAGAUAAUAAUGGAAAUAAAUGUGUUGUAAUUGCUUGCCUUUGAAGGAAGUCGAAAAUGAUUCCGGAGCAGGAGACUGAGCAAUGUAAGGAUUGGAUCCGUUAACAGCGGACAUGGUGACGCUGUGAUCCGCAGCAGGCGAUUCACUAACUAACUCGGCGCUCCAACGAACAGAUUUCCUGGACCCGGUUGAUGUUUGAUUCGGUGACCGCUCGCUUUGAAUCUCAUUCUCUUUCGGAUUCUGAGCCUCUUUCUCUUCUUCUUUCUCCGGUUCUGUUGUUGGCACAAUAACAAAUUCAUCCGCGUCCAUUUCGGGAUCCGACUCUUUCCGGUUCGGUUCUUCGGCCGGUGAGCUGGACUUUGACUCGGCUACCGUCGUCCAUUGUUCCAUUCUUGUAGAACGUUCAGAAAAAAUGGCUCCGCGUGAAGUGGCGUGGGUUUUUUGUUGGAAGUUUAGUCGGAGGCUGGUAUUUGAUCUUUGUAUUUUUCUUUUAAAAGAAAAGAAUAACUUGAGCUGACCAGAACUGGAAAAAGGAAGGAAUAACUUAAGCAGCGAAAUUGCUAAUAGUAAUAAUAUGCAACCUACGCUCUCACACCAACUUUAAUACUUAUUACAAAUUAGUAGCGGUCAGUUGGUUAAUAAUUUUUUAAAAUUUUAGUUACCAAUUAAUUCGAUUCAAAGUUAGGUAAUCGAAAUAAAUAAUAUAUAUAAUAUAUUUGUAUUAAAAAUUAUUUUUUAAAUUAUUAUUUUUUAUAUUAAUCAAAAUAAAUAAAUAUUAUAUGUUAUAUAUAAUAUAUUUUGUGAACUAUUAAAAAAAAUGAACAUUAGUAAUGUUUUAUAUUUAUUUUAACCAAAAGACAAGAAUAUAUAAAUUUCGGUUAAUUCGGUGUUAACCGUCUAAAUUAGUCGAAAUAUUUUGAUUCGAUUAAUGUAUUUAAAAAAAUUAAUUUAAUUAGUAGUUAAAGAUUUUUAUAUUUUAAGUAAUUUAAUUAAUAAUAAUUUGAUUCGAUUAAUAAUUGAACUGACCAAUUAAACACAUGUAAUGAUAUGCACAAAAAUACAACACAUGAAUAACAUGUUUUAAUUUAGUAUGAGUUUUAUUAUAUAAUCGUGUUUUACGUAAUAACCAUGUCGAUCAAAUACAAGUAAGACGUCGAGACAUGACUGAGACCUAAUUAAUUAGCUCAAAGAUUACCCUCAAUUUUUGUUGGAAUACAUGUAUUGAUGGAUUAUAAUUAUUAGUUCGUCAAAAUUUAUUUUCAUUGUUUGUUUAGUUAUGUACAUUUAGAAUUUUUGUUAUGAAUAUUUUAUAAUAUUUAUGAUUUUUUUAAUAUUUUGAAAAAAUUCUAUGUAUUUAUUAAUUUUUUUAAUUUUGUAUAAUUAUAUUUUUUAAAUUUUAGAAGAACGACGGAAUUCAUCAAAUUCAUAAAUAUGUAAACCUUCAAGGUUAGCAUUUAUGAAUGAUAAAAAAAGUUUACUAUCCUCCUUUUCUUCACAAAUAUGAUGUUUAUCAUUCAAUCUGAGUAUUUUUGUUUGAUUUUAUUGGCUCAUGAUUCUUUACCAAACAAAUCGUUUUUUUACCUAAAUAAUAAAAAAAAUAAUUAAUUAAAAAAAGUAUGAAAAAUAAAUUAAUUAUAAAAAUAAGCCUUAGUUACAGUGUUUUGACGGUGCCAUUUGACAAAUUGGCAACAUUAGACUGAAAUGUAAUGACCUAAAAUAUUCAGGAACUUGAUAUUUAAAUUUUCUAUUUUGGUAUAGGUAAAUUAUUUCAUAAACCCUCUUAUUUAUUAUUUUCUUUUAUUUCUCUUUAACACUAAAAAUAAAUAAAAUAAUGAAAUUUUUCUAGAUUAUUCAAGGUCUCCUGGUGAUAUUCAUGGCUGCCACGGAAGAAAUUGAAGCGAGUUCAUGCCGACCCUCAGCAGCUUCUUGAUCAUAGGUAUCAAUCGCGAUACUAAACCCAGAGUGCAAACAAUUUUGGUUUUGGUGAUACGACCAUUAUUUGGAAGCUCCUUCAAGAUCCCAUCAAUGUCGAUAUUUGUCAUUUCCUUUUUUAUUUGCUCGAAUUAAAAAUCUGCUCUACUACACCCAUUAUCAAUUAAAAAAUAUUAAAAGUCUUCAAUGAAAAAGAUAAGGAAAAAAACCCGGACAAAAGGAAUAUUGAGAUAAAAAAAAUGGCGUUAAUGUAGGGUUGGUGAGAGAUAUCAAAUGAAGUAAAUACAGAGAUGAUUUUUUAAGAUAUAUAUAAUCAAAUAUGAACAAAUUAGAAGCAAACAUAAAUAAAAAUAAAAUUGCUUUAUGUUGAUUUAAAUUGAGAAAUGAGAUAUUAUACCUUAUAAGUAAAAAGAAAAAAGAAAACAGACGAAAAAGAGUGAAUUUUGAAUAACAGAAGAGUAAGGAAAAAUAUUUUUCGCAAAAUAAAUAACUUUUUUGGUGUUAAAAGAAAGGAAAGGAAAAGAACUUAAGUGUCAACCAAAACGGGAAAUUUACAUAUUAGGUCCUUAAAUAUUUUAAAUCAUCACUUUUUAAUCUUGUGUUGCCAAUAUGUUAUCAGAACAUUAUAGCAAAUACCUAUUUUUAUAAUUAAUUUAUUUUUCAUACAUUUUUAUAAUUAAUUAUUUUAUAUUAUUUUGAUAAAAAAACCUAAAUGAAAUAAAUUUUCAUAUCUUAUAUAUUAAUUAACCAUAGUAAUUAUGGUUAUAGUUUUCACUAUUUGAAUAUAUCCUAACCAUUAGGAAAAAAAUUAAUCAUUAUAAAACAUAAUUAAAUAUCUUUAUUUUUAUUAAUCUUUAAAAUCAAAAUAAUUGAAACAAUAUUUAAAUAAUGUUAUUAUAUUUAUGAAAAAAAAUCGUGAUUUUUAUUUGUGUAUAAUUUUAAUAUCUAACUUUAUUUUUAUUAAUCUUUAAAAUCAAAAUAAUUGGAACAAUAUUUAAAUAAUGUUAUUAUAUAAUUUUAAAAUCAAAAGGUAAUUAUUUGAGCCAAUGACCAAAUUCAAAUAGAUAAUUAUACUUACAAAUUCUUAACGAUUUUUUUUAAAAUAGAUAUUGCAAUUAUUCAGAUUCCAACUAAGCUAAAUCCGUAAAAAAAAAAUUUAAUAUUGAAGCUUAGAAAACCUCCCUGAAAAGAAGUCAACUGAGUCACCAAGCUUCAGAACUCGCUCUCCGUACCGAGAUGACUCGCUAACCUUGUUCUUGCUGCUCUCCAUAGUCAUUAACCUUCCUUCUUCUCCGUACAAUUCAUCGUUCCCGACUUGAUCCUUCAUUUCACUUAUUGAGCCCCAAACAGUCUCAACCAACACAUUCCUCAUCUGUCCAAGUGCUGAUAAUCUCUCUUUACAAUCUUCUAGUCUCUUCAAAGCAAACCCCAACUCAACUGACUCAAAAACACUCAAACAACUCAGUCUCUCUUUAAACUCACUGACUCGAAUGGAAACCUCGUUGGUUGAUGCCAAAUAAUCCUCACCCACCAUUCCCAGAACCUCGUCCACCAAUAUGUUGCCAUUGGUAUGCAAAGAAUUGGGCAUUCUCGAAAUCUGUUCGAUCAAAUUCCCCAAAGAGUUUAUCUCUUUAAGCAAUUGGCUAUUUGUAAGAGAUGAUACUUUCUCCUCUUCUUCUUCAUUGUUAUCUACACUGCUUGAAGCUGAACUUAGAAAGAAUCCCAAAACCCUUGACGUUUGCAACAGAUUCUCAAGGUAUAAAGCAUACCUGCAAUUUGUUUUGAAUAUAUUUGCUUUAAAUUUGAUGCUGAACUGUGAAAUCACGUAUUUUCCUAGAAAGUUGGAGAAACUAAAAAAUAAAAUAAAACAUACCAUCUAACCCAAUAGGAAAGUUCCCAAGUUAACAACGUCGUUUUAUCUCUGAAAUUGGAUAGUUUAAGGUAGUUUCGGCCGCCAUUGGAAGGGUAAACAGAGAGCCGAUCUUGAAGAAUAAAGCUGCCACGCUUAAUGAUGUGAUGAACAGUGAUGAGACAUUUGAUGGCAACGGAGGCAUCACGGGUGGUCUGAAGACGGUCCAUGAGGGCCUCGAUGGCGGUGGAAACGGUGGCACGUGAGGUAUGGCCGGAGGCAAGUAAAGUGGCCAAGUGCCUUGGGUCAGGUGGAGUGAAGGGGUCAUGGGUGGUGGCUCUUAGUAAGGCUAAGUGGAGGGAUAGGGUUUUGGGAUCGGAAAGCAAAGCUGCUUUGCUUUGAGAAGCUUUGUCUUUGAUGAUCCCAAUGAAGUCCCUAAGAAUCGGUAUCCGCCCCAUUCAACAACAAAACAAAGCCACUGAAGAAACGAAAAGUAAAGUGAAAAUUUAUUAUGAAAAGAUCUGUUAUCUACUUAUCACAAUCUCGCGGGGUUCAUUUUUUAUAUAAGAAUAAUUACUAGGCUUUAAUUUGUAAAUUGGCCCUCAACUAUACCCUAAUUAUCAAUUUGGUCUUUAAAGUUUUUUUUUUGUCAAAAGUAAUCCCUAAAGUUUCCUUUUGUCACCCUAAUUGGCGCUUCGGUUAAUAGACAUUAAAAGAAAAUUUAUGUGGCAUUCCAGCCAAUACUAAAAUGACAUGUGCCAAAAAAUAAAUUAAACUUAAUGUCAGUCUUCAUUGUUUAAAAAAAACACUUCUGACUCCAAAAUCACUUCUGAAAGAAAAGCUGUGAAGAACAAGCUGCUUUUGGCUGAAAUUUUUAACUUUUUAGAAGUGUUUUUCAAAAGCACUUCUGAAAAAGAGCUGAAAAGAAUAAGCUAAAAAUUUUAGUUUUUUCUCUCCCAAAAGCACUUUUAGUACUUAAUUACUUUUUCACCCCUCUAAUAAUAUAGUAUUUUUCCUUUUUUUCUUGGUGCUUAAUUAUAAUUGUGUUAAAAUCAUUAAUUAAAAAUAAAAAAAUAUUUUUUAAAAUACUAAUUACAAAUAUUUAAUGGUUAUAUUUAAAUAUUUAAAAUAUAGUUUAUAUAUUCUAAUUAAAUUUUAUAAAUAAUUAAUAUUUAUUGCUUAAAAAUAUUUACAAUUUAUAUUCCAUAUAUUAAAAUAUUAACAACAAGUUAUAAUAAUUUUUUUAUAUUAUUACUAAAAUAUAAUAAUAUUAACUAAUUUAAAUAUUAUUUAAAUACAUAUUUGUUACUUGAUAAUAACAUGUCUAAAAUAGAUAUUUUAUUUUUCAAAAGUACUUUUUGACAGCAAAUCUUAAACACUCAAAUUUUAAACUAAAAUUUUCAAAAACACUUCUUAAAAGUACUUUUCCAGUACACUUUUCAAAAGCAAUCAAGAACUGGCCCUUAAUAUUCUUUCUUUCUUUCUUUCUUCUUCCUCCUCUCUCUCCCUCUCCCGCCACAGUUCUCUUCUUCUUUUAAAGCUAACUGCAGACUACAUUUUAUUGAUGAACUUAACAUAAAUAUAAUAUAAAGCAUAAGAUCUUUAAAGGCUAAGUGCAACUCGACUCUUACUCUCGUUCUUAUCUUCUUCACCAUUUUCGAUGAACUUAGCCUUAGAGAGUUUGUAUAUAUUUUAACAUGGUCACUUUAUUAAUGGCUGAAAGUGCCCCAUUUUUUUAACGUCUUUUAGCGGAAGGGCCAACUUGUGUGACGAGGGUAAACUUUUGGGAUUACUUUUGAUAAAAAAUAAAAAAAAAACUUUAAGAGCCAAAUUGAGAAUCAUGGUAUAGCUUAAGGGUUAAUAUAUUACUAAAGCCUAAUAAUUACGAUUUUCGUGAACAUAUUUUAUAAUUUGGAUAAAUUAUACUAUUAAUUGAUCACUUUAACACUAAAAAGAGUUAAAAUUGAUUACUGAACUAUUUAAAAAAUUUUAUUUAAGUUAUUAGAUUGUUAAAUUUUUUUGUUUAAGUUCCGCUAGCGAGCUCCAAGCUACGAUUCAAAAUCCAAGUCAAUCUGAUAGUCAAUGUCGAAAAUUGAAAAAAAAAGUUUUUUGAAUUUUGGUUCGCAGAUUCGUGACGUCCAAAGUUAUUUCAUGAAAAAAAUUAAACUAUAAAAAUAAAUGGGAAAGAGAGUUUUCGAUUGGUACAUGAAAUGCAAACAGAGAAAGUCAUAUAGUAUUGAUUUAAUAGCUGAGUGACUUAAAUGAAAACUUUUAAAUAAUUUAAUGACCAAAUUAUUACUUUUUAAGUUAAAUGACCAACACAAAAUUUCACAUUUCAAAGUACAAAGCAUAACGAAAAAUAUUACAGCUCAAAAUUAGAAGAAAGCAUAACAUUUAAUUAUUAGAAUUAAAUGUUAUCUAUUAUUAAUUCUCUAUUAAUUAGUUUUAUCGAAACAAAUGAUAGUUGAACUUUAAAAUAAGAAAAAAGGAACUAUUUUAUAGCUCGAAGCAUAACAAUUCUAUACAAAUUAAUUUAGUAAUAACUUAAAAGGCAGUAAUUUUAACGUUUACAUUUUUGUCAAUUUAAUUAUUAUAUUUUUUUAAAAUGAAAUUUUUUUAUUAAAUUUUCAGAAAGAAUCAAAUAGUUAGUUAAAAUAUUAAAUUUUUAAUAAUGCUGGUGUGGUAACUCGUAUGACAUUAUGCAUAUAUAUCAUGUUGAUAUGACAUCAUUUGUCUUGUAUGUCACGUCAAUAAAUAAUUUUAAAAAUAUAAAAAAAUUAUUCAAAAAUAAAAAAUUAACAUAAAUUACACGUGAAUUGUCAUGUGGGUUGACAUAUUUAAAACAUUAAUGUUUUAGUCAGUAUUUUCAUAAAUAAAUAAAUAAACAACAAAUCAACUCUUUUAAAAGAUUAAUAGUCAUAUUUAGAUUAAAAAGAAAAAGAAAAAUUAAAAUUAUAAAAAUUGUAAAUAUUAAAGAUUAAACUUGUCAUUAUAUCUAGAAAACAAAUUUAUAAUAGUUUUCUAAAUAAUGAUAGAAAAGAGGAUAAUGAAUUGAUUGAUGGACACUCAAAAAUCAAGCCUCGAUAAAUAGUAACUAAAACUCAAUUAAGGGGUUAUCAAGUUGAGCACUAAAUUCAUGCAAUCUGAUUGGUGUCAAGUGAACUUUGCUUAGAAAUGGUUGCAUAUGGCUGUGUGCAUGAUGCAAGUUGAGCAGUAGCAGUUCCAUCCUUGUCAUGCUGCAAUUAAUUGAUUUCGUCAGUUCACCCACCCAAUUAAUUAAAUCCCAGAGAUAUGUUUCUUAAGUAAAUCGGCAUAAAGUUUGUAUUUUUGGAGAUUUUUUCUAAAAUUAAUAUAGUAAUUAGUUUGAAUUUAUUUAUAAAAAUUGAUUUUUUUAUCAUUAUAAAUUAGAGACAGAAAAAGGAGACGAACAGGUUUGAAUAAAUAAACCGGAAAAUAAAAGAUUUUAAUUCUAUUAUUAUAAAUAAUUUAUAAUUAUUAAAAUGAAAUUAGAUCUAACUAGUAUAAAAUAAUUAAAGAAAAGUGUCAAUUGAUGUUUAAAAAAUUAGAUAAAAGGUUAGAGCAAUCAGACUUUUAUAUCAAUCAUUUAUUUGAUUGGGUUAAUGGAUAACUUAAUUCAAAAUAUAUAUUUUUGAGUCAAAUUUUUUAAAUGUUAAAUAUAUUGUUUUUUUAAUAAAAAUUACAUUUUUUUUUUCAAUCCAAUUAGUCAGUUUAAUCUGAUUUUUUAUUCGAUCAAUUUUAAUUAUCCAAGUCAUACUUCGUAGAAGCUAACGAAGGCUUGGCUUAGUAAGAAUGGUUUUCUUUUUAUAGAAAAUAAAUUAGAUGGGUUCGCGAGUUAGGAUGAGCUUAAUUAAAUCCGGGUUGAAAAUGGGUUUAAAAUUUUGUUUAAGUCUAAUUUAGAUAAAAAUGUUAAUAUUUAAUCUUGGUCCAGCUCACCUAUAUUAAAAUUUUUUUGUAUAAUAUUUUAAAAUAUAUAUAAUACAUAAAAAAAUAUUAAAAAUAUUGAAGUAAAUUUAAAUAACACUAAGAUAGGUGCAACUUAACAAAUAAAUGUCUCUAAAAUAGUAAUAAACUUAAUAAUAAAACAAAAAUUAUAUAAUAUUCAAACAAUAACAAUAAAUUAAUAGUAACAUAAUAGUGAAAAUGUAGCAAAAUAGUGAUAAAAUAAGAAAAUAGUAGCAAAAUAAGAAAAAAAAAUAACAAGAAAUUUGGUUAGGCCAAAAAAAACCUUAUCCGAGGCCCGACCUAUUUUCUAAAUGGGUCUUAUUUUUUUGUCCAAAUCCAUUUUUUGGGUCCAUUUUAUAGUAAUAAAACCAUAAUUAAUUAUAAAACGUCCUAAUACUUAUAAAAAGAAAUAUAGGCGUUAUAAAUUAACAAAACCCCAUUCAAUACUGGUUAUAUCAAAUGGUUCAUGAUCCAAUCUAAUUUUUAUAGUUAAAUAUUUUUCAUCUAUAUCAUUAAUAUAAACAUAUGCUUCUAAAAACAUAUUCAAAAAAAGUUUUCUGAAAUUGAGCUUGUUGUUUACAAAUAGCUCUAUUUAUUUUAAAAAAUAUUUCUUAUGGUAAAUAUGUCUAGAUUUAUUAUAUAAACAUAUUCUAAACAUUUUAUUCAUAAUAGGAUUGUUUUUUCCUUUAUGAAUAAAGUACUAAAAUAUAUCAAGAAGAUUGUUUAUCUCCUUAAUAUCCAUAAAUUCCAUUUGGAAUUCAUCCCAAUCUCUGUAUAAGAUGGAUUUUAAUAAUAAAUCAUCAGAUUCACUUUCCUUAGUUGUUUUUUCAACUAAAAAUUGUGAAAAUUUUGUAAGAGCUCUUCUGAAAUUUGCUCUUUAUUGAGAAACAUAGUUUUUCCAUAUUUUAUUAAUAAAGUUAUAAAUUUCUGACGAUAAACCAGGACUGUAAAAAUCUUUUAUUUCUUGAAUUUGUUGUUGUUUUAACAAAUUUUCUGCUCCUUUAAUCAUUUCAGCAUAAUUGGCUUGAAACGUUGAAUUUGGAUAUUGGGACCAUUGUGAUUGACUCACCAUUUUGGGUGUCAAUGAUAAAGGAGUUCCAACUGGUUGUUUUACCAAUGACAAAACUUUUGUUCUAACUGGUUGGUUUACUAUUGGAUAUGACAUAUAAUAUCAUUGGUUAGAAUAAAAUGGUACUUGUGCAGGUACAAAUCCUUUUUUGAAAUUUGUUGCUUUCCUUUUGUUGGGUUUUUUAUAAACAGUCGUCCAUUCACCAACUAUUUCUGGAGGUUUUUUACCUCAAUCUAGAGGUGAUCAUGGGUUGGGCUACUCAACUCGGCCUGACGGCCUGCCCGAAAAAUGGGAGGGUUCGGGUAAAAAUAUAGUCCCGAAAUAUGGGUUUGGGCAAAAAAAGAAGCUCGUUUAAAAAAUGAGCCUGGCCUCGGGUAAAGCUUUUUUGGCCCGGGCUCGGCCCGGCCCGAGUUAUAUAUUAAAUAUAUAAUUUUAUUUUUAAUCAAAUAUACUUUUUAAUCAAAUAUAUAUUAAAUAUUUACUUGUUUGGUGUUGUAAAAUUUAAUAUGGGCCGGGCUCGGGUUUAGCAUGUAAUAGCCCGAUUUUCAAAAAUGUCGAAAACAGUGGUACGAGAUCACCAAAUUCAGAAAAUAAGCUCGUAAAUUUUAUUAUCAAUAAUUACGAGCCAAAUAUGAUUUUUAAGAGAUUUUUAAAUUAGUAAUUUGUAUUUUAUAAAAAUUUAUUAAGUCAAGAAAUUGAGAAAAAGAGGUAUCGAGACUUCGAUAUUAUAAACUGAGCCGUAAAUAUUUUUAUAAAUAUUUACGGAGUGUCAAUAUGGUAGUGUUAAAGUUUCGUCAGAAAAUUUUAAUGUUUUGGCAGUUAAUUAAUUAAAAAGGACUAAAUUGAAAAGAUACAAAACUUGCUAAAGUGAUUAAAUAACUUAACAAUUAAAUAAGAAAGGACUAAAAGAGAAAAUGGACCAAUUUAGGGGCUGAGAUGACAUACCGUUAAAAAAAAUCUAAGAUUUUUAUGUAUUAAGGACAAAAUUGGAAUUACAAUAAAGUUUAUGUGGCCAAAUUUUAUUUUAAGCAUUUCAAGACCAUUUCUUCUUGAAAUUUCGGUGGGAGACAGCCAUGGAAGAGGGUUUGGAGCUGGUAUUCCAUAUUUUGGCUUCAAGUAAGUUUAAUUCUUGCUUUGUCCUUGAAAUUUUUAUAUUUUUAGACUUUUACAAUUAGGUCCAACUUAGUAUUCUACUAGUUUCUCAUUUUGUUGAAAGUUUUGGAAGAUACUAAUGAUAAGUUCAUAUGAUUGUUGUUAUUUUUUGAUGAAAUUGAGAUGUUAAUGGAUGUUUAAAGGUGUUUUAUUAAAGAAUUUUAGAUGAAAACAUGUUUUAGGGAUUAAAUUGAAAAAUAUUGAAAUCAUGGAGAAAUUCUAAAAUUUUAUGGAAUCUAUGGGCUGUUAUUGAUAUGUAUGAGAAAUAAUAGGCUUGAAUGAAGGAUUAUAUUGCAAGAAUUUCAUUUUCCAAGCCUAGGGACGAAAUUAUCAUGUAUUAAAAGUUUAGAGUCAAAUUGGUAAUCAAUAUAUUACACUAAACAGUUUUGGGCAGCAGCAGUGGUCUGACUUUGAAAAAUCACCAAAAAUUGUGGGAAUUGAAUUAGAGGGUGAAUAAAAUAUGAAAUUAAAGCUUAUUGAGUCUAGUUUCUCAUAGAAGAAACGGUGUAAGUAAUGAAAUUGUAAAUCAUGAGAUAUAAUAGAUUUUGUGAGACAAUGUCAGAAUGAAUUCGGGUUCCCCUGUUCUGAAUUUGGAAAAUCAUUAAAAAUUGUAAAAAAAUGAUUAUGAGUUAUAAUUUAUAUGAUUAGAAUCCUUAAUGAGUCUAUUUUCAGAAGAAACCAAUAUAAAUACCAUCCAAAUUCUGUACAAUGAGAUAAUUAAUUUUUAGUGAAGAGUGGUCGGAACUGUCAGACAGCAAAACAGGGGAAACUUUAAAGAAUAAACAGCUUUGAAUAUACAUGUGAGUGAAUAGUGAAAUUAUAGCUAAUGUUGUUUAAGUGUGUUAUACACAUUAAGGAUGUGGAAUGGAGAGGAGGAGGAGGAAAAUUGGGAAGUAUAUGAAUGAUUUGUGUAUAAUUGGUCAUAUGCUUGAUUAUAAUUGAUAAACGGUGAAAUAGAAAUAAUGCUUAUAUUUGUGCAUUAUUGGUUUUGGUUUAAGCUCAUGUGUGAAAAUAAAGUUUCAUAGUACGUGUGUAUCGUAUAUUCGGUAUAUGAUUUGGCAUGAAAUAAUUUCAUGAAUGGUUUAUCAUGUGGUUAGUUCCAAAAAGGGUUAUGUUUAAAUAUACUAGCUUGUGACUAUGGUUGAAUGAUAUGUUUAUAUCUUGUGUGAUGUGCAUAGGAAACAAGUGUGGUAAGAUAAUGAAAUAGUAAGUUCAUAUGACCGAAAUUUAAUGAUUAAAUGUUAAUUUCAUGAGUUAUGUAAUGUAUGAUGAGAUAUAUUUAUUGAUGAAAUGAGAAUAAAAUAAAAAUGCAAAAAUUGAAUAAAUGAUCAAAUUGAGCGGAACGCCGGAUUUGAGUACUUAUGAUCAAGUGACAAAGUGAUAGGUGAUAGCUUCGGCUACACUUAUCUGAUCAAGUGACAAGUGGAAAGUGAUAAGUGAUAGCUUCGACUACACUUAUCUGAUCAAGUGACAAGUGGAAAGUGAUAAGUGAUAGCUUCUGCUAUACUUAUCUGAUCAAGAGACAAUGUGAUAAGUGAUAGUUUCGGCUACACUUAUCUGAUCAAGUGACAAGUGAAAAGUGAUAAGUGAUAGCUUUAGCUACACUUAUCUGAUCAAGAGACAAAGUGAUAAGUGGCUACACUUAUCUGAUCAAGAAACAAAGUGAUAAGUGGCUACACUUAUCUGAUCAGGGACAAGUGAUAAGUGAUCAUACGUAAGACCAUAGUUAUACUAUGGCAAAGUGAAAGUGAAGUACUCAAUUUUCCGUAACCGUUCCCUAAUUUGAUUAAGGAUGGUAAGUGACAAAUGGGCCCAAAUGAAUUAAAGUAAAUGAAUAAGUGGUAGUGUAUUUAUACCAGGAUGAUGUUGUUAUUUAAGCUAAAGUGAUAUUUUCAUUGCAAAAUUAAGAAUUUCAUAAAUGUGUUAUUGAACGAUAUAAUCGAUAAACGUUGAGUUAAAUGGUAAAUACGUAUUAGUGUUAAACUUAGUGACAUUGAAUUGUACGUGAAUUAAAUGGAAAUUGCUAGUGAUAUGAUCUAAAUUGUGAGCAUGAGAAAUUGCGAAUUAAAUGAAAUGGAAAUGAAGCAUUGAAUUGUAUGAGUAUAUACCGGGUCUCGUAGGCCCUAAUUAUUAUGAUUAUAAUAUUUUGAGGAUAUAUUGUGAAAAGUUAUAGAAGCAUUCUAAUUAUUUUGAAAGUUUUAAUUUAGUUGAAAUUUUAUAACUCGGUUAAAUACGUUUACAAGUGUAUGUGUUUUGGUAAUGCCUCGUACCCUAUUCCGCUCGUACCCUAUUCCGGUGUUGGAUACGGGUAAGGGGUGUUACAUAGCAAUUUUCUUUCGGGCCGGGAUUGGACAAAUUUUUAGGCCCAUGUUUCGGGCUGGGCUGGGCCUGGGCCUAAAAAACGGGCCUAAAUUUUUAUCUGGGCCCGGCCCGGCCCAUGAUCACCUCUACUUCUAUCCAUAAGGCUUGCUAAGAUAAUCAACAAUAAAUUAUUAGUACUUUAUAUAAUAACAUAAAAUUACAUAAUUUAUUCUUUUGAUGGUGUAAAAGUUUUAUUACACACAAAUUUAUUAUUAUUUACUAAUGGUAUUUUUAUAGAAGAAUUUUCUACAGAUAAACUGAUUGACUUUUUAUCAAUAGAGAAUGGUAAAUACUGACAUGUAAAAUUAUUUCCUAAUAAUAUGUCUCCAUGCAUUUCAGGAAAACAUAAAAUUUUAGGAAUCAUAAAUCUUAUAUUUUUUUAUGUAGAUUGAUAUAUUUCUAGCUUUAUAAUUAAUUAUGGUUUUAUUAUCAUCCAUUCCUAUUACUUUUAUAGGAUUUUUAAUAGUUUCCCAUUUUUCUACAGGAAUGACAUUUUUUCUGCAACUACUGGUUGUAGCUCCAGUAUCUAAUAAAGCAUGUAAAGAAUAUUUUUUAUAUUCUCUAAAUUGAAAUGCAAUUUCAAUAUAUGUAUCAUAUUUCCUAGAUUGGAAAUUAUUUAUUUCAACUUUCAUUUGUUUACUAAUCGUUGAAUUUUGUAUUUCUUCCGUUCUAGAGUUUCUAGAAUUUCUACUUGGUUAUGUAGGGAAAAUAGGAAUAUGAAUUGUUUUUACUCCUAUUGGUGUAGAAUUAUUACUAAUAUUAUCCUCUUCUUCUUCUACUGAAUUAUUAGAGGGUAAAAUUAAGUUUUCAUUUGUAUUAGUUAUAGCAAGGUUUUUAAAGUAUAACUUAUUCCCCGAUGACAUAUAUUCUAUGGUACUUACUGGUUUAGAAGUACUUGCACUACUUAUCUUUUCUAUCAUCCAAUCUUUUGGAAUUGAUAGAUCUCUUAAAUGUAAUAAUUUUGGUUGUAUUUCUGUAGUAAAUUUAUUAGGUUCAAAGAGCUUAAUAAUUUUGUUGUUUAUCUCUUUGAUUUCUACUUCUGCAGUAUUAGUAUAUUUAUUUAUAGAAGUCAAACUUAUUGCUAGAUCUUCUGCUAAAUCAUUAACAUCAGACUUUUUUGUCUGAAUUCUAAGGCAUAGACACUCUUCUACUAGAGGAUUUGUAAUGGAUAUAAAGUAAUUUGGUUUAACCUUAAAUCCUAUUACACCCGUAUGUAAAUUAGACUGAAUUCCUCCAAUAAAUGCUUUUAUUGGAUUUUCAAAUCUUUUAUCUAAAAGAACAACUAUUAUAGAAAUAUCAUGACAUUUCCUAAAUAGAGCUCAAAUAGUUAUCAUUAUUAUCCCUAAAUGGAUAUAUCUAACUUGAGGGUAUUUCUUUUUAAUCCUCUUAAUUUUAUCUUUAGUAAAUAAUGAGAUUUCUGUUAAUCCCCCUCUCGUAUCCUUAGCUAUAGUAUUUCCACUUAGCUUUUCUACAUGUCUCUUAGUCCAUAUUUUGAAUUUAGAUAUUUUUUAUAUUUCUUCUUUAGAAAUAUGAUUUUUAUAUAUAUUUUUUCUAUCAUUUCAUCACAAAAGUCUAUUUCUUCUCCAAUCAAAUUUCCUAAUUUUAUAUCUUGUUGUUCAGUAUUAAAAAUUUAUUCUAAUUGAUUAUUAGAACUACUUCCUAUAUUAAACAUAAAUAUAUAUUCUUCAUCAAUAUCAGAAUCUGUUUCUGAUAUUAAUUCAUAUAAUAUUUCUUCAGGAUUUAUUUCCUUUUCAUAACAUAUUUCUAAAUCUUGUUCUUCAAUACUUUUAAUCGUUUUCCUAGCAUUUUUUCUUUGUUAGGACAAUUUGUUGCUAUGUGACCUACUUCAUCACAUAUAAAAUAUUUAUAUAUCUAUUUUUUAGGUUUAGAAAAUUUUCUUCUAACAAACUUUUUAUUACCAGUAUAUUUUUUAUUUCCUGAUUUCUAUUUUGUUAAUUUAUAAAACUAACAAUAUUUUUUUUAAUCUUCGGGUCCAGUGAUCCGACCAUGAUCAGAUUUAAAAAAAACUAACAGUAUUUUUUUUAUUAAAAAAACUAACAGUGAUGAUAAUAAAGCCGUAAUGUUUAAAUUGCAUAUGAAGUUUAAAUUUUUAAUUAGAUUAGCUAAACUCUUAUUUUUGUUAUAUGUUUAAUUAUAAUUCUUUUUAAUUAUUAUAAUUUCUUUAGUGUGUAGUCUAUUAACUCUUAAUAUUUUAACUUUUAAUAAGCUACAAACUUUUAAUUUAAAUUAUUUUUAAGUAGUUAAAAUUUUUAUCACAUAUUUAUUUAUUACGAAAUUCAAAUCAUGUUACCCAUCUUUUAAUUCUAUUAUUGUAUCUAAAAAUACUUUUAAUUUAGAUUUAAACUCAACUUUAACAUAAAUCAUUUGUUAUUGCGGUGGCAUUUAAGAGUUGGGGCUUUUGGUGUCAUGUUAUGUGCUAUGGAGGCUUUUUAUUUGGUGAAUGCUUCAUAUACCCAAUGGUCGAGUUCUAACAAGGGCUAGUGAUGUUUUUCGUGUCUUCCUAUCUUUUUGUAUCAUGUUUUUUUUUUUUUGCUGGUCUAAGUUUUUAUGAAUUGUUUUUUUUUUAUGUUUGACUUGAUCUCUAGUUUUGUGCUUGUAUUCUCAGCUUUGAAAAUGGAAAAUUUAAUAUGCUUCCUUUUUAUCAAUAAAUUGACUUUUGUUGGGAAAAAUGCUAGGCAUGUAUAUACAACUCGAUUCAAAUUUAUUAAGUUAACUAAUUAGAAUAAAUCUGAUAGAUAAUCCACGAGUUUACGAAAGGUAGAACUCAAAUAUAUAACUUUAAAAUUUCUAAUGUCACCACAUUUGUCAUUGAGUCAAGGCAUCAUUAGCAGUUCUCUACUUUUAAUUAUAAGAGUUUAAUUUAUUUGCUGUAAUUGAAGUCCUAUUGAUAACAUUGUAAAAAAAUAUUAUAUUAAAUUGAAUUAUGUGAUAUUUUUAAAAUAAAAAAUUAGAUUUAUAGAUGAAAAUUAGAUGAUAAAAUUUUAAAUAUCUAGAGCAUAAUUAAAGGGUAACAAAUUACUUAGGUGGGUGAAUAUUCUUCUGUCAUAAUUAUAUUCACAAGAAUACAAUUCUGUAAAAUUGACCUCGUUUUUAAAAAAAAAAAAAUAACUUAUGGAAUUAAUUUCUUAAGGGAAACGCAUGAAAAAAAAAAGUCCCCGGCUUUCUACGUAAUCAGCCGAGAUAGGGUGGGUCCACUGCACGUGAGGGUGAGAAAAAUGCUAAAGUCACUUUCUGUUCUGAACAUUUCCAUAAUGUUUUAAAUGAUCCAACGGUUAUAAACAUUACUUUGAUGUACAAUAUCACACUAACAUGUAAUACAUAUUUUCCACAUACGACUCUCUACGCUUUCCUGGAAGCUAAAUAUACAGAGCAAGUUUGAAUCUAUAUAUACAUAUAUAUAUAGAGAGAGAGAGAGAGAGAGCAAAGCAAAAAGGUUGAACCGUUUGAAAGUUGAUGUUAUUGGAGUUUUUUUUAUUUUCUGAGAUGGGUUUCUCUGAAAUGGGCAAUGGAUGCAAGGAUCACCCAAAUCAUCAACAAAAGCAAGGGGUUUGCGCUUCAUGUUUAAGAGAAAGGUUAUCUCGUCUUUGUUCAGCUUCAUACACAGAAACUAAUUCAACGCUUUUCCUUUCUUGCUCUUCUUCACUCUCCUUUUCUCCUGCGCCUGACUACUCUUCGCCUUCAUCUUCGACCUCGGCCUCCCCUGACGCUCGACAUCGUAAGCGGAACGGUUCUGGCGUGACGUCAAUCAUGAAGCCGGUGUCGUCGUCGUCGUCUUCGUCUUCGUCUUUUAUGUUAAAGUUUGGUAGUACCAAAGGUUUGAAGAAGAGUAGAUCGACUGCUUGUGUAGCAAGGACCUUGGAUGAUGAAGAACUCAAGAAUGGGAAGAAUAAGAAGAAAGGGUUUUGGUCUAGGUUGCUGAGUUUCAAAGGGAAGAAGAAUGUUCUCUCGCAUUCAAUGAGUAUGAGAUUAAUGAUUGGAAGAGUGAAUUGAUUUCCUAGGGUUCAAUUUCGACGAUAAUUUGUGUUUUUUUUCCUCUUCCUUUUUUGUUACACAGUUGUGAGAUCAAAAUGAAAGAUUUGAUGUAGGUUUUAAGUCUGUUGAGACGAGGCGUCAAAACUCUUCUUCUUAAACAGUUAUAAAAUUUGUAAUACUUGUUUCAAUAUAAAAAAAAAUGAUUGCACAAGCUUUGCCUUAAUCUGUGAAUUUAGGGACACAAACUCUAAAUUUAGUGAAUAAUAUCACUUCAAACUAAUUAGGCUAAAUUCUAAAUUCCAUUUUCUAAAAAGAUAAAAGAAAAGUCAUAGUAAAAAUAUAAAUAAUAUAUAUUCAAAUUCAAACUCAGAAAAUACUUGGUAAGUCAUGUUGUCUUCCAAUCUUUUUUCUUAAAGGUGAUGCAAUUCUAUAGUUCAUGCACAGCAUGAAUGUUUACUUUUGAAUAUAUACAUCACUAUCCUAAAUAAUUAAAUAAAUAUAUAUAAGUUAAAACAGCUGUAAUUUAUAAUAUAAUAUCUGGCCGAUUAAGUAUUAAAUUGAUUGGUAUGAAAAUUAUUGUUAAUUAUGUAGAAAAAUGUGAUGUUGAAUGCGUUAAAAUAUAUUAUUUUUAUAUUUAUGGGUUGAAGAGAAAUUAUAAAUAAUUAUAAAUAUUAUAUUAAAAGGAAGUCAUAAAACCGAUAAAUUAAAUUUUCAGCCAAUUUCGUUGAAAAACAUCCAAACAAUCUUAAAAACAUUGUCCCACCUUUCCUUCGUUUUCCAAAGUUUUCAAGUCGUGCGGAUUGCUACCUUUUCAUUUUUCCAGUUUUGUCCACUUCGUCUUAUAAUAAUUCCAACUAUUAAAAUUAAAUAUACAUGAAUUAUCAAAUUAAAAAUUACAUAUUCAUAAAUUAUAUUUAUUUAAAUAAGGUAUAAUCAUUUUUUUGGCCCCAAACUUUAAAAAGAAAUCAUUUUAGCCCUCUAUUUAAUUUUUGUCAUUUUUAGUUUUUAUACUUAUAUAUUUUUUGUCAAGUCACCUAAAAUUGGUUGAAAAUUUUGUUGAUAUGAGACACACGUGGAUAAUAUGUCAGCAUUUAAUUGAUACUCUUAAAUUUAAAAUUAUUAAAAAUAUAUAUUUUUUAUACUUUUUAAAUAAUUUUAAUGAUUUUUAACUUUUAAAAAUAACUUUUUUGAAUUUUUAAAAUUUGUAAAAAUCAUUUAAAUGCUGAUGUGUCAUUCACACGACAAUCCACGUGUCUGCCACCACAUCAGCAAAGUGAAAAAAACAUCAUCUUUUAAUCUAUUUUGAAACGAUUUAACAAAAAACGUAAGUUUAAAACUAAAAAAAAAACUAAAAAUUAAAUCGAUAGCUAAAAUAUUUUUUUUUUGUAAAAUUAGAAGAUGAAAUAAAUUAUUAACUGUAAACAUAACAACAAAAUUAAAAUAAUUGUAUUAUUUUUAAAAUUUUGAAGUGAAAGAAUAAUAAAAUUCCCAUAAGUGUAGGGGGACCUCAAGAAUCACAUUUCAAUAAAUGAAGGAUAAAUAUAAUGGCGUCGAACCCGUGAUCUCCAUUUCCUUUUCAUCAGUCUCAUUUUUAUCCGCAUCAUUAUGAUCCGAUUUAAAUCCAGAUUGUACUGUCACGUAAUCUUUUUUUUUUCUUUAUUCCCAAUGAGAUGGUUUUAAAUCGUUAUUCCAUUUUUUUUGAAAGGUAUAAUGUUAAAUGUAGCUACUAGUAUUUACAAUUUUUUUAAUUUGGUCCUUAUUUUUUAGUUAAAAUUGAAUUUAACUAUUAAAUUUUUCGAAAAAAGUUGAAAUACUGUGUUUUAUUGAAAAUACUAAUUAAAACGUUAAAUUUUAAAACAUGUCGACAUGUCAACCCACAUGUUGUUCAUGCUAUACUUUUUGGAUUUUUAUAAAUUUUUUUAUAAUUUUAAAUUAUUAGUUGAUGUGACGUGGCAUAUAAGACAAAUAAUAUCAUAUUAAUAUAAAGUAUAUGUGGAUUGUUAUGCAAUUUACCACCCCAAUAUCAUUAAAAAAUUAAUGUUUUAGUCAAUAUUUCUAUUUUAAAAAUAGAUUUAGUUUUUUAUAAAAAGUUUAUGGUCAAAUUGAGAAAAAAAAGCGGCUAAAUUGACAAUAAAAUAUAAGCAUGAAGAUUAAAUUUAACAUUCUAUCUUUUAAAAAUUAUAAUAAACACAAAUUUAAGAAAUUAUAAUUUAUUAAGAUGUAUUUUUAAAUAAAUUUAUUAAAAAAAUUGGAAAGUCCAAUGUAAAUAAAGGAUCAUAGAUAGUAAAGAGUGUCAUAUGAACUGUUUUCAUUUGGACUUUGGAGAGACAAUGUUAGGCGGCUCCAAGUUGCAAAAAAAAUCAGCGGCAAAAACAUUCAACUAAUUACCAACUCUAAAUUUUGAGAGGUUUUAGGUCUGGGAUAAUGAUGGUAUUGCGGUAGAAUAUUUUAAUUUAUAAUUAUAAUAAUUAAUUUUAUCCUUAUCUUUAUUUUUAAUAUUAUCAAAGAUAAACACACCAUUCAUCUAAAAAUAUCUUUAGUUUAACUGUUAAAAUAAUUUAAUUUACAAAAUUCCAAAUAAUUUACAAAUGCAAAUAUUUACCGCUUGCACCAAACCAUCCUUUCUUUUCCCCUAGAAUUUUAGCUCCGAUUUUUAGUGGAAAAUCCGGCAACUUCGGUUAUUCCAAUAAAACCAGCCCUUUUUCCCCUUAUUUGUCUCUCCUUUAGAUUUUUAUCUCUUUUUUUACUUAAUUCGGAUUUUUAAUUUUCUUUCUCAUGAUACCAUUGUUGACAUAGCUUUAUUUUUAGUAUUUCUUGUAGUUUCUAUUUUCUUUUUUAUCACUUUAUUUGUUUAUUCCCACCUAUAAUGAAUAUUAUACCAAUCAUUAUUUUUAGAACUCAUUUGAUUGUUUUGUCGACCAAAAACAGA
RNAcentral lists this long non-coding RNA (69342 nucleotides) under Gossypium barbadense (sea-island cotton). RNAcentral's name for it is "long non-coding RNA (GBAR_LNC020504)". The stretch from base 21591 to 21707 matches the Rfam family "U5 spliceosomal RNA". The record is from RNAcentral. Lineage: Eukaryota; Viridiplantae; Streptophyta; Magnoliopsida; Malvales; Malvaceae.